UGUUCGUACAAACACAGAUCAUAUGGAACGAGAAAUAUGCUCUGGUCGGAAAGCAGAGUCGUGGACAAAAGUGAAGUUCACAAAUGACCAUCAUACAUAGGCCAUUGUUUCAACUUGUAGUUUAGGCCUUGCCGGACUCCUCGCAACCUGGUGGCCUGAAGGCGAUGAAGCUGACGCACUGCACCUGGCGCAGGUUGUCGAAGCCGAUGACACGGACAUAGGCAUCAGGGUACUCCUUCUUGACCUCCUCCACCUCGUUGAGCACCUGCGUGGCGUCGGUGCACCCGAACAUAGGCAGCUUCCACAUUGUCCAGUAUCGACCGUCGUAGUACCCGGGAGAGCUGUUGUGCUCACGGAAGACGAAGCCAACCUUGCUGAACUCGAGGCAGGGCACCCACUUGGAGCGGAUCAGGUAGUCUACCUGCUUUAGGAGGGCCUCUGUGGAGAGGGGUGGCAAGUAAGACAGGGUCUCGAACUUCUUGAUACCCUCAAUCGGCCACACCUGAAUGGAUGGAAAUUAUGGAAUGCACACAACUGCUUAACACUUGGUGCUAGUAAAUUGUACGUACUGAGGAAGAAACUCAUAUCAGUUUUGUGCCUCUGACAUACCUGCAUGCACCUGAUCCUUCCGCCAUUGCUGACGCGGCCGAGGCUGCCGCUGGAGCGGCGGCUGACGGGCAGACCGGCUGUGGACUUGAGCCCCUGGAAGGGUGCGACGGUGGUAGCCGACGAAGCCAUCACGGCGGGGGCCAUGGUAUUGUAUUAUCGGAGGAGAGGAGGAUGCCGGCUACAGGUGAGGCCCCCAUUGCCGGGUCACUACGGUAUAUAUAGCCAGACACUUAGCGCCGUUUCUUUGGUACAGAUGUGGUUGGGGUGGCUGACGUUCUCUGGUUGCCUCGUUUCCUUAUCUUCUCCGGAUCAGUGGAAGAAGCAUGGCCGUCGGAUGCAUUGUGUGUGCUGGAAAUUUCAGUCCUUCAUGUCAUUGGGUGGCUGCCACACAACCUUUUUCCAGCUUUUCUUGUUUUUGGUUUCAUUUGAAGCCAAAAGUUUCUUGAGUACAAAUUUUCUGAGAUGCGACUUGAGUGGUGGUGUGGGCAAAAUAUUUUACAUUUUAUCAUAAGAUCUGAUGGCUCACUCCCUUGAAAGUAUGCCUAUAGGCAUAGAGUGUGCGUGUGUGCAUUUAUAGGGGGUGUUAUACAUGCGCGUAUGCGAAUGUCUACUUUUGUACACCGUUUCUCAAAAUAAAAUAUAUGUUUUGUUGGUACAAUUAAUUGACCUAGCAUAGUAACCUCCACACGUAGAACAAGUUCUUUCCCCUCUCGCAAGGUAACUAUUGAAAGCUUUCCACCCCUCUAUAUCCGCCAGUGAGCCUGUGGAUCCGCCUCCCCUCUGCGGGAAGGGGGAUUCCUGGUGCCUCGGCUCUGGCUAAUAAACAAGUAGAAUUUUAGUCCUCAUGGGUGAGGUGCUUGGACGGAUGGCGGUCUUUCUUCUUCGAGCCAAUCUUUCGGGAUCCUAUCCUCUUCAAGUUCCUCUGUCGGGGGAGCUCCGACGUAGACUCCUGCCAGUUCCUCAGGCGGUGAGGUUAGGAUUUCUCAUCAUGCGUACGCACAAUGAGAUUUGGUGUCAGGUUCUUUAAAUCGAUUCAGGGAUUCAACAGCGAUGGCUGCGGCUCCGGAGCACUGGUCCUUAGGGGCAUGUGCAUGGAGACUUCCUGACUGUCAUCGACAAAGUCAAGGUAGCUCUAGAGUGGGAGCAACGACAACGGUGCAUUAGUGGCUUGUCUCUGUGCGUAGGAACGAAAAGAAAGCCCUAUAUCUCAAAUUUUUGACAACUCUCCGUGACAAUGGGCAUAACUUAUUUUAAACAUCAGUGGGUAGGAACAAAAAGCUCUAUAUGUCAACUAUUAACAUGUAUGGCUAAAUAUGUACCUUGCAUUAUAGGAUAUGGCAAUCGAUCAAAAAGGUGGGCAGUCUCUCACGUAACAUUGUCUCUCAAGUAGGGCUGCAAAUGAGUCGAGUUCGAGCGAGUUGGACUUGCCUCAGCUCAACUCAUAUUAAAAUUCGAGCGAGCUCAAACUGAGUGAAGCUCAAGGUCAAGUUGUAGAACGUGACUCAUGCUUAACUUGUAAGAUCUUGAGUCGAUCUCGAGCUAGUUUCGAGUUAAAUGAGAUGAUAAAAUCUAUUAAAUUUAUGACUAUUAUUCCAACUAGAUAAGCACAACACGACAUAAAAAGGCACAAAAAAUAUUUUUUCAAUCAGAACAAUGAUAAUACAAUUUUCUUUUGAAAUGAUACAAAUUUUGUUAGAAGUAGUUUAACUUAUUCUAUCACAACCGAAAGUCUAGUAUCAACUAAGAUAACGAUUCACGAAGGUGCAUAUGCUAGGAACUUUUAGCAGAAACAACAGAAUAUUUAACACAUGACCGACCAUGUACCAUAAAAAAGCCUAAAUUUUCUCUACAACUAAUUAAGCUUCGAUGUCUGUUUGUAAACAAAAUGGUGAAAAAUCCAGGAUGACACAUAUGGUAUUAAAUUAUCGUAUUUUCAUUUAUUAUAUGGAAUGAUCAUUUAACAUAAUGAUAUUAGGCCGAGCUAUCGAGCUAAAAUCGAGCGAGCCAGUAUUGGCUCAAGAUCGGCCCAUUUCUUGAAUGAGCUAUAGAAAGUGUUCGUACUCAACUCGUUUCUUUUCAAGUUGAGUCAAAAAACGAGUUGAUCUCGAGCCGCUAUCGAGCCUCAAGCUUUUCUUACAACCUUACUUUCAAGCAGUGUCAUGUUGACACAACUCAAUCAUCCUACUUCUCAUCCCAUAUCAGCGGCGGAUAACGAAAAGACAUUAAUAUCAAAAGGCCUGGACCGAAGGUAAUAAGUUCUAUGGACAACCGCGAUCCCUAGAAUAAUUAUGUUCCUCUCAUGAUAUUGAUGCCCUGUCACCUGGAGGUCUCUCGAUUUGCACGCCUCUCUCCCAUAGCCAACGAUUACUCAAAUAACAUCACAUAUAAAAGAGUUUAAGAGUUGUUACAACCCAUUAGGGAGACCGUGAUGGGGGGACGAGAAGGGGUAUGGGUGAGGACGGAGUGGCGACGGCAGCGCUUCUCCGGCAUUGCCUCCUUCAAGGUUGCAAUGAUAGAGAUGGAGGCUUGGCACAACCCUCAAGUGUUUUUUGAUAUCGAUGGAGCUGGACGUAUGGAUUGUGUCCCCGAGUGGCUAGGGUUGGAGGUGUAUUUAUAAGAACUCUCCAAAGCCUCCUUCGUUGAUGUAGCAUCUCUACUUUGCUCCAAGUGCUCUAGGUGAGCCCAAUCUUUUCCAAAACAUCCCUUGAUGGCAAAGAAAGUAGUAGGAACAUACCGGGACAAAAUCCUUGAGGAAUCCCCGUCUGAAAGGGCAGCUUCUCAUUUUUUUAUGCAUCAAAGGUUGUCAAACGCUUUAGACUCUUUGGUAAAAUCGCCGCAACUUUUACAUCCGAACUCUGUUUUUGACGUUCAUGUGCUCGUUGGAAUGACGAUUACGGCGCCGAUGCACUUGUGGUAUUAGAUAUUGAUUUUGAGCACUUUGGAAAACAACUUUUUUCACUCUCUGAAAUGCCCAAGUCUGGUGUCUCGAUGUCCUUCGUUUGGAUCCUUUUCAUCGUGUUAAGUGAGUGAGAGUUCCACAUUACGUACAAACACACAAAGAAAGAUAAUACUGAUAUGAACAAAUAAAGAAUAAAUAUUAUGCAAUGCUCGCGUUGAAAAUGUUAAAUACUGGAGAUCAUGCAUAUGGGCAUGUAAUUGGCUCAAUGGCACAUGAUAUAUGGAGAUAAUAGGUGACAAAUGAGCUCUAAACGUGCGUAAAAGUAGGAGCUAUCACUUGGAUCAAUUAGAUACUAUCUUGUGGAACACCUUACAUCCUUUUGAAUGGUGUACCUAGUAGGCAAUUCCAAUGAAAACAUGGGAUUCACCAGGGUGACACACCGUUACCACUUCUAUUUUUCUUGGCAGUGGAUUUACUUCAAUCUAUCCUUAGUGACAUGUAUCAUCGCGGGAGCUCUUUUUUCCAAUCCCAUCUCAUGAUCUAAACUCUCCAAUUGUGUAGUAUGUUAAUGAUAUGUUGUUGAUUAUGCCGGAUAUUGAUUCUCAGCUUCUUGACCUAAAAGAAAUGCUACAACUUUUGUCUAAAUCCACUUGCUUGAAAGUGAAUUUUGGUAAAUCCUCCAUGGUUCUUAUAAAUGUGAUUGACGAUGAAGCUUCUCAUUGGCCAGUUUGUUUGAGUGUCAACAGGGUAAGAUGCCUUUCACUUACCUGGUUUACCUAUGGGUAUCACUAGGCUCAAGAUCUAGGACUUAAUGCCUUUGGUUGAUAUAAUGAAAAGGAAAUUGGCAGCUAGCUCUUCUCUGCUCUCACAAGGUGCUAAAUUAAAACUUUUGAGGUCUACCAUUUCAUCUAUACCGACAUACUAUCUUUGUAGUCUCUAGAGUCUAGACCCCCCUUGGUAUAAUUAAACAACUGGAGAGAAUUGAGCAGAAUAUCUCUGGCGUGGCAAUGCUGAUAGCUCAAAUCAACCAUUCGUGAUAUGUCAUCUGGUAUGUAAAUCAAAGGAGAAUGGUGGUAUUGGUAUCAUUAACCGUCAUAUUCAAGACCAACCUUUGCUUACAAAACACUUGCACAAAUUUUAUAAUAAAGUUCAUAUUCCAUGGGUAACUUUGAUAUAUAUUUCUUACUAUCAUGGAGUCAUACCUGAUGUAACAGUCCUUCGUGGUUUUUUUCCGGUGGAGGGAUAUUUUGGAACUUAACGAUCAGUACAUGACAAUCUCUUCAAUCAAAGUUAAUAUUGGCAACUUUGCCCUGUUCUUGUCUGAUGCCUGGUUGAUUGAGGGGUCUUCUCUACCUCUUCGACAUCGUUUGGAAAGGCUCUUUUCAUUGCCUUCUAUGACAAUAAUUCUGUAAGAUUUUACAGAAACCCCUCAUUAGGCCACUCUUUUGCACCUGCCAAUUUCUGCUGAGGCGAUGGAUGAAUUGUAACCUCCGGAUGGUUGGUUACAUAGCCUUAAGGGAAACCCAACCCUGUCUGAUGUUUGUUCUUGGUAAGGAGAAUCAUUUUCCGCCAAAAGCUUCUACUGCAUGAUGCACAAGCACAUGCCCACCGAUGAACCUUGCAAAUGGAUAUGACAGAGCACCAUGAAGAUCAAGAUCUUUGCUUAGAUCCUAUUAUUUUAUCGGUUGAACGCUCGGAAAUUGCUUCUUAGAAGGCACUGACAUUCUGCUCGGAUUGAAACCCAUUGUGCUCACAUGAGCGAAGAGACCACUUGUUUUUCUCCUAUAAUUUUAGUCAAAGAAUUUGGACUUAUUUACAGAUUGAUUGGAGCCCCAGAUGAAACACUAGAUAAUGUAUUGAUGUUGCAUGUAGAUGACGUUUUUUCGUGAAUACACUAAGCAACGUAUCAUUUCAUUGAUAGGUGGAAAGAAAGAGUAUAGGGUGCAGCUCUCACGGGCAUACAUGCAAUGGCGUCCGUGAGAGUGCAGAGCGAGCAGCGGAGGAGGAUGAUCAGCCUCGAUGCCGCAUGGUCAGGUUACAGGGAUGAUUCUAUGUAAUCCUCGAUCGUCGUCCUUGGCCCACCGACGCGCGUCGUCCUUGAUUAGCUGCCCAAGGUCAUCUGUGGAGGGUCCGGCACCGUUGACAAUGGCCGCAUUUCGAUGUUUCCAGAUAGCCCAAGUGGUGAGAGCGAUAAUGAAGUUUAGGCCUCGUCUGAGGCUAUCCGGGGAUGCUGCCGUGGCCUGGAGCCAACAGUCGAAGAAGAUGGUCGAGCCUAGUAUGGGUGGUGUAACCAGCCAACACCAAGAAAGAAUCUCAUGCCAAGUGAACCACGAGAUGACACAACUAGUGAGGAGAUGGUCGAUAGUCUCUAGCUCCUGGGAACAGGAGAUGCACUCUGGAUCGUGCGGGAGGCCGUGCCUUGCACGACGCUUCGCAGUCUAGCACCGAUCGAGGAAUACGAGCCAAAGGAAGAAUUUGUUGGUAAGAGGGGCCCAGCCCUUCCAGAUCAAACGCCAAGCGGGCGGGGAGGUUGAUCCAAAGAAGAGCGCCUUGUAGCAGGAUUUGACGGAGUAGAUACCACUAGCAUUCCAUUUCCAACUGAUUUGGUCCGGGGCAUGACUGAGUUGGAUGCCCUGAAGAUGACGCCAGAGAUCGAUGUAUUGGACCACUUUGAUGGGACCUAGAUUGCAGUGGAUAUCGUGAAUCCACGCUUGCUGGUGAAGGCCAUCAGAAACCAGGGUGCGGCGGUGCCGAUGUCGCGGCACAAGAGCAAGCAGUGCCAGAGCGAGCUUAGAGAUGGUGUCGGUUCUAUAUCCGGCAUAUCUCGUAGUAGGGGUCCUAAGCUAGGCGUCUUGGAGCGAUGGUAACACGGACACAUGGUUUUACCCAGGUUCAGGCUCUCUCGAAGAGAUAAUACCCUACGUCUUGCUUUUGAUUGUAUUCAUAUGGGGGAUAGUACAUAGUACAUGUGUCUACCACGAGAUUGUUCUAAUGAACAUAAGUUGAUCUAAUGACUAGCCUGGCCUCGGUUUAUACAACACACCGGAGGCCUAGGGUUUAGAGGAGUCCUCGUCUUGUGCACCAAAUCUUGUGUAAACCUCCUUGUAUGCGGCAUGGGCUGCCCGAAGUGGCCCAUUAGUACACCGCCAUGGGGGCCCUCGGCACGAUCCAGCUGGUCGAGAGACGACGUGGUGAGUCCCCCCCCCCCGAGUCCAGGACACUGUCAAAUGGCCCUCCCGUCGAGCCAAUGGUUGCACCAGAAACGACAAGUUUUGUCGUCGCCGAGGGUCCAAGUGGUCGACGCACGGAAGAACUGCCUGGUCUCAUCAUCACAAGGCACCUCAAGAUGGUGCCAAGGGAGGGAGGGGUCAGUGGUCUGCAGCCACAGCCAUCGGGCAUGCAAGGAGAUACUGGUGAGGUGGAGAUCGCGCACGCCAAGCCCACCAUACUCCAGCGGGCGACAUACGCGCCUCCAAUUAACAAGGCAACAGCCGGACUUGGCAUCCUUCCUAGCAUGCAAUAGGAAGUCACGAAUGAUCUGGGUGAUUUUCUUGAGGAUCAUUGGGUUGAUGACCAUGAAGAGGAGAAUUUGGACAGGUAUAGCAGACAGGACAUGCCGCACGAGGGCGAGUCGCUCGGUGCGUGAGAGAAGCGAGGCUUUCCAGGUGGCGAGUUUCUUGGUAAGUUUUUCCAACAGUGGGAGGAGCGCCGAUGUGGGAGUCUUGCGGACCGAGAGGGGAAUUGAUGUGGACCAGAUCAUGACCAAGGCAUCCAAGAGUAAGGUUAAUGCUAGCACAAAUGCUGAACCAUUCGAGCAUCUAAAUGAAGACAAGGUCAAAACCAUUAUCUUUGUUGGGAAGCUUCCGGUGCCUAUUUUGGGAGAAAUGACACAUCAGAUUUCCAGCAGCAACUUCCCACCUAAACCUAAUUAAUUCUGGAAGUCUCUAGCACUUUAUAGAGGCUGGAAGAUAUGGUCUUAGAAGUCAGCUUUCAUUUAAAAAAAAUUGUGCAUCAUUUGAGGUCUUGAGUCAAAAGUUGUGCAAGUUUCCAUGCAAGCUGUCCAGGAAUUUAUUACAGCGCGAGGCUCAACAAGUUUGCUCCUGCUACAGCUUCGGGCUCACGAAUUUACCCUUCUUUUUGAGUUGUUUUCACACCUAACUAGUGGGUGCUUCUAGUAUAAAUACUCCCUAGCUGUUCCAUGUGAGGGGGGAUGAGAUUUCUGAGUUUAUGUUUGUAGACAGCCGGUGAGGUUGUGUUGUGCUGUGAGCACUAGUAUCGUCGAGUGUUAGCUCGUGUGUGUGGAUUGGAGGGCCUGUCCUCAAUUCAUAUAGGAUCCUUGUGGUUCCCUCUUGUGAUUCUUCAUAGGUUCACAAGCUUCAUGGUUUGGGUUGCAUCCUUGUAAACCCAGCUAGUUGUCCGCUGCAAUUUAUCUGAGAGUGUUUCCUCUUGUUCUUCCCCCUUGAGAGAAAUAAAGUUUGUUGAAACAAGUAUCGAGUGAGUUUGUUGCUGCUCCUUGUGAGUUCUUUGGCACCGUGAAAGAUCGUUUCUGAGGCAUCCCACAUCAUCUUGGCAUCAGAGCUUUAGGUUGUUCGCGGUGCAAUUUUUUAUCUUGCUGAUUUUGUUCUUGAGAAGCUUCCAUGGGUUCAAGGAGAUCCAGCAGUGUUGAUGGUGUGCAUGGAGGUGCCGGCACCUCGUGGAGGAGGAGCUGCCACUCCCCGUAUAUGAUCCAAGCUUGCAGCCCGCCUAUGUGUUGGCAUUGGAGAAUACACGAGAGUAUGUGUUGAACAAGGUGGAGAGGCGCAUAUCGGCCGUGGAGACCAACCUUGGCCAGAUAAUCGACUCCCUCACCGAGGAACUCCGUCGAGAUAGGCUUGCUGUACGGGGUCGACAUUGACAAAUCCCCAAACAGCAGGGCCAACGCCACCUUGAGGAGGAGCAUGGAGAGCACAACCACGUCUACUCGGGUGAUGCUCAUAGCUACUACGCUGCACCACCUCGGCGUGCUUGCUAUGACCAGCGAGGUGCUACUUGGGCACCACUGUCACCACCAUGAGAUGGGCUUGUGGAACGGGUUCGACAUCGACAACUCCCCAUACAGCAGGACCACCAUGGAGAGCAUUGGAGCGACCACUCCGAUGAUGCUCGAAACUACUACGAGCCUCAACCAUGACGUGUUCAUCAUGAUCAUCGCGGAGAAGGCCAAGAAGGCUUUGCCAUGGGAGGAAGAGGUCAUGGGCGUGCUCAUCGUGACCAUGAAGAUGAUGGGAUUGGUAAAUUCAAACUUACCAUACCAUCGUUCAAUGGGAAAACCGAGACCGAUGAUUAUUUGGAGUGGGAGAUGCGUGUGGAUUAGAUUUUUGACAACCACCGCUAUACGGAGGAGAAGAAGGUACGAUAUGCAUCCAUUGAGUUUACUGGAUAUGCUUUGAUUUGGUGGAACCAAUUGUGUCGUGCUGGAGGUCGUCCAGAGACAUGGGUGCAAAUGAAAGAUCUGUUGCGGAGACGGUUUGUUCCUGAAUAUUUCACAAGAACCUUGUACAAUCGACUCCAACGGUUGUGCCAAGGUAAUUCUAGUGUUGAUGAGUACUAUAAAGAGAUGGAGAUUUUGAUGAUUAGGACAACGGUGAAUGAGCCCGAGGAGGCCACAAUGUCAAGAUUCUUUCAUGGACUGAAUGAAGAUGUGCAAGAAAGGAUAGAGAUGAUUACAUAUCAAGAUUUGCAAGAACUUGUGCAUCAAGCUAUUCGUGUAGAGCAGCAGCUGAAGCGUCGCCAAAAUCGCAGCCAAACCUAUACAUCAAGCACUUGAAGAAGUUCAGCUCAACGAGAAGUAGACGGAAGUGUCGCUGCAGAUUUUCGCUCACACAACAAGAUGACUACAAAGGAAGCUAAUGCAUCAAAGGUUGAAUCUUCCAAUACUUCUGCCACUCGCGUUAGUAAUAUUCAGUGCCAUACAUGCAAGGGUAGAGGUCACUUCAAGAAGGAUUGUCCUAAUCUGAAGAAGGUUUUACUCACAAAUGAUGGAUAUGUCACCGAUGACUCAAGUGACAAAUCUGAAUCUGAGAAGAAAGAUGCAAAUUAUUGUACUUUUGAGACUGGAGCACCUCUGAGUUCAGAUGGAGGAGAUGGUGUUAAUCUCAUGGUUCGCAAAGUGGCUCAUGAUGAUGCUCCUAUUAUUGAGAAGGGCCAGCGACAAAAUGUGUUCCAAUCCAUUUGCAAGAUCAAGAACAAAAAUUGCAAGGUGGUCAUCGAUGGAGGCAGCUACAACAACAUCAUUAGUAGUGAUCUUGUGCAUGCUCUUGGGAUGUCAACAUGGAGGCAGCCCCAGCCAUAUUAUGUGAAGUGGCUGAAUGGUGUUGGUAAGUUGAAGAUUACGCAUCAUGCGAGGGUGCAAUUUUCAGUGGGAAGUUAUGUGGACAAAGUGGUAUGUGAUGUGGUGCCAAUGCGAGCUUGUCAUCUUCUUUUGGGAAGACCGUGGCAGUUUGAUCAUGAUGCUACUCACCAUGGGAGGUCUAACAAGUAUUCUUUCAUGCAUCAAGGAGUGAACCAUGUCUUGGAACCUAGGGUGGAUCAAGUACUCAAGGUUGAGCAAUUCCCACAAGUGAAGAAGCCCAAAAAGAAUACCUCAAAACCGAGGAUGGUUUUGUUUGAAGGAAGGGAGGAUGAUGUGGACCAGAUCAUGACCAAGGUAUCCAAGAAUGAGGUUAGCACAAAUGCAGAACCAUUAGAGCAUCCAAAGGAAGACAAGGGAAAAAACAUUAUCUUUGUUGGGAAGCUUCCGGUGCCUAUUUUGGGGGAAAUGACACAUCAAAUUUCCAGCAGCAACUUCCCACCUAAACCUAAUUAAUUGUGGAAGUCUCUAGCACUUUAUAGAGGCUACAAGAGAUGGUCUUGGAAGUCAGCUUUCAUUUAAAAAAAACUAUGCAUCAUUUGAGGUCUUGAGUCAAAAGUUGUGCAAGUUUCCAUGCAAGCUGUCCAGGAAUUUAUUACAGCGCGAGGCUCAACAAGUUUGCUCCUGCUACAGCUUGGGGCUCACGAAUUUACCCUUCUUUUUGAGUUGUUUUCACACCUAACUAGUGGGUGCUUCUUGUAUAAAUACUCCCCGGCUGUUCCAUGUGAGGGGGGAUGAGAUUUCUGAGUUUAUGUUUGUAGACAGCCGAUGAUGUUGUGUUGUGCUGCGAGCACUAGUAUCGUCGAGUGUUAGCUCGUGUGUGUGGAUUGGAGGGCCUAUCCUCAAUUCAUAUAGGAUCCUUGUGGUUCCCUCUUGUGAUUCUUCAUAGGUUCACAAGCUUCAUGGUUUGGGUUGCAUCCUUGUAAACCAGCUAGUUAUCCGCUGUAAUUUACCUGAGAGUGUUUCCUCUUGUUCUUCCCCCUUGAGAGAAACAAAGUUUGUUGAAACAAGUAUCGAGUGAGUUUGUUGCUGCUCCUUGUGAGUUCUUUGGCACCGUGAAAGAUCAUUUCCGAGGCGUCCCGCAUCAGGAAUCCCAAGGUAGACGAUCGGGAAGGUGGUGACCGCGCACGUCAGCGUCGAACCAACAACAUCAGCCACGGUAUCAUCACAUUGAAUAGGGGUGGCAGAGCACUUGAGAAAAUUGGUGCGUAAGCCCGAAGCUUCAUAGGGAAGAGGCCAACCUUUCCUGCUUGGUGUUGUAAAUUUGUACAUGACAUCUCUUCUUGUAGAUAGAGUUAAUGCUUACCAAAGCUCCUGGAUUGGAUUUGUAAUCUCCAUUAGAUAAAUAGGUAGGUAGGAAAGUGUGGUUUUUCCUUUUUCUUGGUUCCCUUUGUAAACAUUUUUUGCUAGCUUUUGUUUUGAUGGAAUAAAGGACUGGAGCUGUUGCUCCAUAGUAGUUACAAAAAUUCAAGAUUUUUAUUGAUUUUUCACUAGUAUGAUUACACUCCUUCACAAAGGAGCUCUUUUUUUUUGAAAAGGAGGAUGUACCCCCGGCCGCAUCUGGGCUAUGCAUGUAGCCAUAAAGGAGCUCAUGCAAUGCAUGUUGGAGAUUUAUUUCAAUAGUUCCAUAACAUGUUUUGAAUGCUGUUGCUAUCUAGUUCAGUUAGAUGCUUAUUAUCCAGACCAACAAAAGUUCUUUAGUAAGGGUCUCUACAAGAAUAUCUUUCAUCCUAUUCUACUAGCAAAACCGAUGUAGAUGCUGGUAGUGACAUGGAAAAGAAACCAUAAUCUUUUUGUAUUGAUAUAUAAGUAAAGAAACUGAAAUUUGCAACUGCAAAUCAGGGGAUCUUAAUGUCAAAUACUGAAUGCUUCCACAACUAGUUGUGUGACAUAUUCAUUGCAGUGCCAAAUAAAGAAACUUUUCCAUGAAUUAAUAACAUCAAGACAAUGGUCCGCAUGUUUUAUAUAAUAAAUAUCACACAGGUUUUGUAUAUGUGUAGCCGGCUCUAGAAUUUACAUAUGCAUGCUCGAGAAUCUAUGUUCGUACAUACAUACACAGACCAUAUAGAAUGAAAAAUAUGCUCUGGUCGUCCAGCAGAGUCGUGGACAAAAGUGAAGUUCACAAAAGACCUUCAUACAUAGGCCAUUGUUUCAACUCGUAGUUUAGGCCUUGCCAGACUCCUCGCAACCCGGUGGCCUGAAGGCAAUGAAGCUGACGCACUGCACCUGGCGUAGGUUGUCGAAGCCGAUGACGCGGACAUAGGCGUCAGGGUACUCCUUCUUGACCUCCUCCACCUCGUUGAGCACCUGUGUAGCGUCGGUGCACCCGAACAUAGGCAGCUUCCACAUUGUCCAGUAUCGACCAUCGUAGUACCCGGGGGAGCUGUUGUGCUCACGGAAAACGAAGCCAACCUUGCUGAACUCGAGGCAGGGCACCCACUUGGAGCGGAUCAAGUAGUCGACCUGCUUCAGGAGGGCCUCCGUGGAGAGGGGUGGCAAGUAAGACAGAGUCUCGAACUUCUUGAUGCCCUCAAUCGGCCACACCUGAAUGAAUAGAAUGCGCAGAUGCUCAAUACUUGGUGCUAAGUCAAUUGUACCAACAAUGCUAGAAAAAUCUGUUGAUAAGCCAAAAAUUGCUCCUGAUGGGCAGGUCUCAUAUGUAUUGUUCGUUUGUCCACAAUGAAGAAAGCUUAAGGGUAGCCCUUAAACUGAUGGGCACUCUGGAGGUACUAAGAUAAUUUUAUCUAGUCCAUGCUGCAAUAAAGAGUAUUUCCAUUCACUAAGUUAUGAGUUGAUGGCUUUUACAUACGGAUCCCAGCUUAUGGACAAGGCUGAAUGAGCAUCCAAAGCCAAAUGGUUUCCAUAGGCAACAAACCAAACAGAUAAUAAGGUUUCGGAAUAAUCUAUUGACCAAAUUAUGUUAUACAUUGGGGAUGUUCUGUAAGUGAAUUACUUGUACUGACAAAGAAACUCAUAUCAGUUUAAUUAGUGACCGACAUACCUGCAUGCACCUGAUCCUUCCGCCGUUGCUGACGCUGCUGAGGCCGGCGCUGCUGGAGCGGCGGCUGACGGGCAGGCCGGCGGUCGACUUGAGACCCUGGAAGGGUGCGACGGAGGUGGCCGAGGAAGCCAUCACAGUGGGGGCCAUGGUGUUGGAGGAGAGAAGGUGGCAGGCUAAGCUUGGCCCCCAUUGCUGGGUCACCACGGUAUAUAUAGCCAUAUAUGGCCAGCUCCUAUCUUUAAUCAAGAUGUGGAAGGGGUGGCUGGCGUUCGUUGGUUGCUUGGUUUCCUUAUCUCUCCGGAUUAGUGUAAGAGGCAUGGCCGUUGGAUGAGUUGUGUGUGCCCAAAAUUUCAGUCGUCCAUGUCAUUGUGUGAUUGCCACAAUCCUUUUUCCAGCCUUGCAUUACUGUAUUAUUCUUUUCGUUUCAUCUUGCUAAAGGUAACGCUUGAAAGGUGCACGAAGAACUCCCUUUGUUGAUUUGCGAUUUAAGUUCAGUGGCACAGGCAUAACGAAUGUUAUAGUACAUCCUUUAUCCACUUUUAUAAUACAAAACUUGUCAACCAGUUAUGCUUGCUUCUAAUCUUUGGUACUUCAUUUUAUAACAUUUUAUACAGGUAACUAACGUAUACUUGCUGCAUGUAUGAUGUGUGUCAUCAUGACCUUUAUGUACUUUAUUCACAAUUAUUCAUUGGAACACAAAAGUGUUGUACUAUUUUCUACACCUAAUCAUUUACAUGCCUUGGAGGAUUUUUAGUAUAGGAAAUGCUAUUUAACUGGCUGUCCAGGCAAGGUAUAACUUUGUUUUAAUCUAUGAGCUAAAGUUUUAGAUCCCUCUGUUAUCCAUUUGCUCAGUUCAUGCCGUCCCCAGUGAACUCAUAAAUUACAUAUGGUGAGUGAAUAUAGACCACAAAAAAUGGUAGAUGUAUGUUCAUUCAUUUCAUGAUGAUGAAGCAACCUGCAAAAUGAUGGAAUCGACCAUGACUACUCAGUGAUAUGGCAAUCAUGUAGGACGAUCAUCGUGAUCAUCCUCCCGAGUCGUCCCCGUGCGGCGGCUGGGAGUACCCCAGAUCCCGUCGCCCCCGACUCCCCCUCUCGUCCCCUCCUCCCUCACCGCCGCCCGAGGGCGCCGCCGGGCAAAGCCUUGCCGUCGCCGGCGGCGGCAGGGACUAGGUGCCCUCCCGCUCGUGAGGAGCUGGCGCGGACCAGCGCCCCCGGGCUGGAGCGUGGCGUGCAUCUGGAUGUCAUGACGGGGGCUGGCGGCGCUCCUGCGAUCCCAUACCUCAUGGCAGGCGGCUUCAAGAUCUGGGGCGACACGGUUGCCAGGGUCGGCGGCGGUGGCGUGGCCGGAUCUAGGACCAGGUGUGAGCUUGGUCUCCGGGUCACGAUCGGCGCGAUGGCAAGUGCGACAUGUCGGCAGCUGGACGGAUCUGCGGGAUUCCAUCCUUGUCUAGUCCUUGACAACUCGAGCAACUCCGAGGGAAACCCUAGAUCCAUGGGAUCAAGCGAUGGCAGUGCUUUUGCGUCGUAGUCCCUCUUCGGGACAUCAUUUUAGAGUUUGCUAUGGUUGAAGGGACCAGCGAGGCAUGCGGCGUACGCCCGGUGUCGCAACUACCGAUGAAAAUUACGCCAACUACGGUCAUGGCGGACGAUGGCGGCGUCUUUGAUGUCGUUUCCUUGUCGAGACAUCGUCAUUGCAGUUGGCAUCAUCAUGCUCGGGAUGCUCCGGGGGAAACCCUAGAUCUGGGUCUCCCGGAUCGGACGAUAAUAGCGUUCUUAGUAUCGCUUUCCCUCAUCGGGGCAUCGUUUUGGAGCAAGUGAUGGCUGGAGGUGAUAAGAGGAGGAGCGGUGCUUCAUCAUACACAUUGGUGGUGUCGGAUCUCGAUGGCAUGGCACCCUGGAAAUUAGGCGUUUGAUGUGCGAUGAUGGACUCGCGUAGGAGGUCGACGCUCUCUGGCGUCGUGGUGGCAUCGGCGGCAGCUAGACCGGGCAAGGUACAUGCAGUAGUACAACUCUGAAGAUGGAUUGGUGGCAGGUGGCUGCGGCGGCCUCAUACCCGGCAGGCGUCCUGGUUGAGGAGCACGCUGGACUGGUGGGUGCCCAUGCCCGGCAGGAGUCCUGGUUGGGACCUCAGGUCUUAGAUGUUAGGUUUGGCUGCGAUGUCUCUUUGGUAUUAGGCCCAGACUAUCAGCGCCCCUUCAUCAACUGGAUUGGAUUAGCGACAGAUGUUGCUUAGACGGUGGCUUUAGUCUUAUUGUUGUAUGGUUUUGUAAGGUCUUGUGCUAAUAAUUAAUAAAAUGAUUGUAUGCAUCGCCCAGAUGCAGAGGCCGGGGGUCCUUCUCCUUUUCUAAAAAUCUAGUCAUUUAAGGUAGAUGUCGUGAUCUUCUUGUGUGACUGUCUCAUAGAUUUGAGCUGCAAAUCGAAUCUUAUAUUCUUCCAUUUUUUUUGAAUUUCCUGCAUGUAGUUAAUUAUUUUUUAUGAAUCCUUAAUGAUAAUUAACAUGGCCCAGAUAUUCACAAAAUAUCCAUAACUAUCAUGAACGAAUCAAUAAAUUACUAUUGCAGAAUGAAGAAUGAACCUUCCAUAGACCCCUCCACUUGGGCCCGUCGGUAGAGAGAUUCAUCACUCAUGGGCCACAAAAUGCGAGCCAAGUAGGACGACCUUCACUAAUGGGCCCUUAAGUUGGGCAUCAAUGGAGGGGCACCCAUGGGGCCCAAAGAUCCAACUGAAUGGACAGUCCAUCUCUACUGACGGUCAUACCGGAAUUUCCUAACGGACGCACAUUGUGUCAAGUUGCCACUGUUUCGCACAGAUGCCAGCGACUGGCGACCGAGAUGGGCCGGCCCAAUUACGAGCCCACAGAUGCGCUACAGUGUCCGGUUUUGGGAAACUUCUAGGAGGUUCCUGAGCGGUUUUGGGAACCUUCUAGAAGGUUCCUGAACCAGUUUUCCCUGGUUUAUUCUGUUUCUUUUUAUUUUUCUUUCAAUAUUGUUUAUUCUUUUUCAUUCUUUAUUUUUAUUUUUUCGUUUUGCCGUUUCUAUAUUCCAUUUUUUAUUUCUUUAAUUCCUUUUCCUUCUCUUUUUUCCUUCAGAAUUAAAAAAUAAUAAAAAUGUUCAGAAGUUAAGAAAAUUUUAUUGUUUAAAAAUUUUGUUCAUAAAUUGAAAAAUGUUCUUCUUUUCAAAAAACCUUCGCAUUUUUAAAAAAUGUUUGGCAUUUAAAAAAUGUUCCGCUUUCAAAAUAUUGUUCACAAAUUACAAAUAAUGUUCACUCUUUCCAAAUUUUGUUCAGAGUUUGGACAUGUUUGCAGACGUAAAAAUGUCCACCUUUUCCAGAAAUGUUCAUAUCUUUUUUUUCAAAAUUUGUUCACAAAUUCAAAAAUUCCUGUUUUUAUAAUUUGUUCACACAUCCAAAAAUUGUUCACACCUUUUAAAAAUUCUCAAAAUUUGUUCACAAAUUCAAAAAGCUUUCCAUUUUUAUAAUUGUUCACAGAUUAAAAAAUUGUUCAAAUCUUUAAAACUUGUUCGUGAUUCUAAAAAAAUGUUCAUAUCUUAAAAGAAAUCACAAAUUCGAACAAAUUCCUGUUCUCAAAAUUAGUUCACAAAUUAAAAAUGUUAUUUUUUGAAAAUUAUUCACAAAUUCAAAAAAAGUUCGCAUUUUGUCCAAACUUGUUCGUGAUUUGUCAAAAAAUGUUCGGAAUUUAAAAAAAUGUACCCGUUCUUUCAAGAUUUGUUCACAAAUUAAAAAAUUAUUUCCCUGUUUAAAUUUGGUUCACAAUUCAAAAAAUCAUGUUUUUUAAACUUCAAUUUUUUGCACGUGUCUAACAAAAUAGGUCAGAGUUUUGAAAAUUGUUCCUUUUUAAAAAAUUGUCCAGAACUGCAAAAUUGUUCCUGUUUUUAAAAUUCGAAUAAUUGCGACCAUUUGUUGAAACUCGUGUGCAUUUUUGCCAAAAACAUUUGGACUUUUAAAAAUAUAUUCAGAAUUAACAAGAAAAGAUUUAAAAAGGAAAAAUAAUGUGACCUGCCGUUGUGACCAGUACUAGUCGUGGUGGCUAGCUAGCUUCGUAUAAAAAAGCACGAUCGCGAGCUCGAGUCCUAGCUCUCGCUUCGAGUUUUUCGUUGCCUUUUUAACACUGCACGCUGCCUGCGUGGGCCGGCCCAGUCGGGCGCCUAACCUGUGCGAUCGCUCGACAUUCUGCCGCAGAAUGCGGCAGAUAGGAAGUCCCGGUCAUACCACACCACCCGUCAAUGUUGGGCGCCCCGUUAGUGCUGAAUUAAGGUAUUUCUAUCUGCUAGAGACGAAGUGGCCUUAUAUGGGCUUUCUCUUUUCUCCUAAACAAAACCAAGCCACCUCCCCCAAUCCAUUCCUCCCCAACGUCAUCACCACCCAAUGUUUUUGUCUCCUUACAUGUGUGCCCCCUCCUUCUUCCACAUUGAUCUGGUCCAACGCUACCGUCUCAUCCCCGCGAUCAUCGUCACUACUCUUCGAUUACUCGUGAUGGCGCGGGUUGUGGCUUCCCACUUGCUCUCUCGUAAGAGUGGUUGGGUAAACCCCAAGUGUAAGGAUGAAGUAACCUAGUAAUAAGCAUUUUCCCCGAUAGGUUUAUCAAACCAGUAGGAAUUUCUUCUACAACCCAAAUCCUCGGUACCUGCACACCAAACACAAAAUAAUCUUGCCCCAAACGUUUCAAGAAGGUUGUCAAGCUUCUUGUCCUGCUAGUUACAAGGAUUAGUUGUUAGUUGAAAGCAAAUAUCAGUUGCUAAGUAGCCUUAGUGUGGUUUGUACCUUCAGAUCUGCCAUGACACUGUCAACACUAUACUCGCCAUGCUUAGGGUUCAUCCUUUUUAUAUACACCAAGAUCAACCUAGGUGCUUCGCGUCGUACUAGCACUAAUCCAACCAUCAAUAUAAAUGAAAUGCCACCAUAAUUUCAAAGCUUAGUUGUUCAAAUACGAAUAUGAUGUGGUACUAAUAUUAGUUUAAAAUAGACACAUGUAGUUGGUCAGCCAAUGUUCCUUGUUGAGUUUCAAAAUACAUGUACACCACUUAUAGAGAGGCAUGAGUGAAUACUAUUUAUUUCUGCGAUCUCGUCCAUCAUGGAUGGGCAACGAACAUUGCAUUGUAUAGAAAGAAGGGUUAUAUAUAACCACCUUUUACAUAGAUGACGCUUUGCCUACGUGCUUUGUGUUGAAGUAGCAACACUCCACCUUUCAAGCUAAACAACAUGACACUCAUAAUUUCAAAGCUUAUUUUGUCAAAUACGAAUUUGAUAUGAUACUGAUAUUAGUUAAAAUGACACACAUUAAUUGUCAGCUAAUGUUCCUACUUCAGUUUUGAAAUGCAUAUCUGCCCCUUAUAGAGAGACAAGAGAGGUUUCUAUCUCUCUAUCCGCUCUUGUCAUCAUGGUUGGGGGGUGAACUUUGUAUAUCGUAUAGUUUGAAGCUGUCAUCUACCAACAAUCAUCACUUCUGGAGAUCUCAACUAGGAGCCUUUUUUGAGUAGUAGGGCCAUAUUAUAUUAAUACACACACCAAAUUACAACUCACAUAGCAUCUCUCGGCAGACUUCCAGAGAUAGUACGCAGGGGUUUAUAAGGAGUCACUAUUGGGGUAGAAUCGGCAAUGCAUUUGUUACACCCCGAUUCAGAGAACCGGAGGUCCCCGUGUUCCAGCCCAGAUAUCCAUUCGUCUGGAACACGACUAUAGCUUGGUACAGAUAGACCAAAAUAAAUAAGUACUUAUGUACAUUAAGGAGACAUGUCUAAGUGUGAGAAGCUCGAGGGCUUUAUUCUACGAGUGGCUUAAGGAAGUACUAAAGACGAAAAUAAUACUAAUGACACAACAGAAGACGGGGUACCAGUGGGGCUCCAAUCUAAAGAGACACUGCUGGUACACGAACUCUUAGGGGAACUCUUCUAUCGGCUCUCUAGUAUCUAGCAUGAUAAGUCAGGUGAGUACUUAAUUUGAAUGUACUCGCAAGCUCACAAACAAUCCAAAGCAAGCAAGAACGGAGCAAAUAAACAUAGCAACGAAGUAAGGACUAGUAAAGCUACUACUAUCAAGACUACUCCAUAGACUUCUUGUCUGCUCGUUUAACAUCUACUGGACUUCUUCUUGAAAUGAGUCCUGCUCAAACGACUCAACAAUAUAAGUUACCUGUUACCACAGUUACUAGAGUUGAAAGUAAAGGAAUAUGGGUACUUGGUCAAAUAGUGUGACCUAACACAAAUGGUGUCCCAUUGUCGGGGACUCGGCUAUUUGAAUAGUUUCAACACACACUCUGUAGAGGUCACACACUUUAAUUUACCCACACCAUAGAUUCUUUGUCUAAUGAAUCUCAUUCAUAGCAUGGCACUCUAACUAUUCCUCCGACCUCCCGCAGGCUAGCCCUGGGAGAGAGGAUCUGGGUCCUUGCCACUCUGUGUGGCACCACUUGUAUUCGCUUAGGAAUAUUUUCUAUUGAGCUCAUCCACAGACCCAGGCUCUCUUGACUGAAUGGCAACUUCCAAGCCAGAGGAAGUCUACACAUUCCAGCUUCCCUCUUCAGAGACACACAAAAGAUACAUACCUAGAAACGGAAUAAGGCCCUCCCAUUCGGCUAGAUGUGGCUAUACUGAGGUUGUUCCGCUUUGUGGCAUUUGGAUUGGCUAGCUAUUUAAAGUUGGGUUAAGAAGGAAAGUAAAACCGUAACUUUGUACUAGCUAUUCAAAUCCACAACUUGUUAUCCUACUAGGGUGAAGUAUUCACGAGGAUUCAUCAUCCUAAGUAGAGGCUUUCCCCGAGAUCCUUUGUGAACAUUGAUACCUAUUUUGCUUAUGAUUCAUGUUGGCAAAAUAAUUACCGGUUACGAGUCAUAGUUAAACUUCUAUUCCACUAGGACCAAAUAAAGGUAUCCUUGCUAGUGACUCACUAUGCUAUUUCAACCACAACAAACUUGACAUAAGCAAAGGGAAGCAAUAAAGAACACUGAAAGAAAAGUAAUGCGGGAAAAGAAAUGCAAGUUGAAUCCAUGGCCUUGCAAUGCAAGUUGAACCUAUAGUGUUAUAGCCAUGGCUCACGCUCAUGUAUUGCAUGGGGCUGAAAAUCUUGAAGCGCGUUAGAAGUGUUAAGCUUCAUGCACUAGCCAACGCAGCCAAAAGUCUGAACUGAUGGAAAGGGCUAGUACAAUCCACAUAUACUAUAACACCCUCUCUCACGUGGGACGGGGAAGACAAGUCAACACAUGCAACCGGAAGAGAGCGACGGCACGCGAAACUCAGGUAUGACUCAAGAGGCCUAUACGUGGACACAAAGGAGGGCUGUCAGCAAUUUUUAAAUAAGUUGCACAAACCAGGACUUGAACUCAAGACCUUAACUCCAAUACCAUGUUAAGCUUCAUUGACUCACUGAAAAACCAGCGGCAGUCACCACAGAGGCAAAACGCUCAAACAAGGCGCGGGGGGCUUGCUUAAGGCCAUAGAGAGAGCGACGAAGACGAGAUACCAUGCCAUCAGGAACAGAAUACCCAGGUGGUGGCUGCAUGUAUACCUCCAUUUGCCUGGUUUGACACCGGGGUGCUCAUGAUUUAUAUAUAUGCAAUGAAGGCGGAGUCAUGCCAUGCUAACAUGAUAAAAUGAGUGGGGAUAACAUUCGUUAAUGAUCGUAUAUUUUGAAAAAGUAAUGAUUAUGUUUCUUAUAUUCAUGGAAAUUAUUAUGUUGAUAUUGUUACUUCAUUGUUUCUCAAUAACUAUAUCAUAAAGAUAUUACAUGAUACAUAUGUUUGUUGGGGAACGUAGUAAUUUCAAAAAAAUUCCUACGCACACGCAAGAUCAUAGUGAUGCAUAGCAACAAAAGGGGAGAGUGUUGUCUAUGUACCCUCGUAGACCGAAAGCGGAAACGUUAGAACAACGCGGUUGAUGUAGUCGUACGUCUUCACGGCCCGACCAAUCAAGCACCGAAACUACGACACCUCCGAGUUCUAGCACACGUUCAGCUCGAUGACGUCCUUCGAACUCCGAUCCAGCCGAGUGUCGAGGGAGAGUUCCGUCAGCACUACGGCAUGGUGACGAUCUUGAUUUUCUACCGUUGCAAGGCUUCUCCUAAGCACCGCUACAAUAUUAUCAAGGAGGACUAUGGUGGAGGGGGGCACCGCACACGGCUAAGAGAUCAAGAGAUCAAUUGUUGUGUCUAGAGGUGCCCCCCUGCACCCGUAUAUAAAGGAUCAAGGGGAAGGGGGCGGCCGGCCAGGAGGAGGUGCGCCAAGGGGGGAGUCCUACUCCCACCGGGAGUAGGACUCCUCCUUCCCUUGUUGGAGUAGGAGAGAAGGAAAGAGGGGGAGAGGAGGAAGGAAAAGAGGGCUGCACCCCUUGUCCAAUUCGGACCAGAGUGGGGCUGUGCGCCUCCUUCCUUUCGGCCUCUCUCCUCUAUUCCCGUAUGGCCCAAUAAGGCCCAUAUACUCCCCGGCGAAUUCCCGUAACUCUCCGGUACUGUGAAAAAUACCCGAAUCACUCGGAACCUUUCCGAAGUCCGAAUAUGGUCGUACAAUAUAUCGAUCUUUACGUCUCAACCAUUUCGAGACUCCUCGUCAUGUCCCCGAUCUCAUCCGGGACUCCGAACUCCUUUGGUACAUCAAAACUCAUAAACUCAUUAUAUAACUGUCAUCGAAACUUUAAGCGUGCGGACCCUAUGGGUUCGAGAACUAUGUAGACAUGACCGAGACACGUUUCCGGUCAAUAAACAAUAGCGGAACCUAGAUGCUCAUAUUGGCUCCUACAUAUUCUACGAAGAUCUUUUAUUGGUCAAACCACAUAACAACAUACGUUGUUCCCUUUAUCAUCGGUAUGUUACUUUCCCGAGAUUUGAUCGUCGGUAUCCAAUACCUAGUUCAAUCUCGUUACCGGCAAGUCUCUUUACUCGUUCCGUAAUGCAUCAUUCCGUAACUAACUCAUUAGCUACAUUGCUUGCAAGGCUUAUAGUAAUGUGCAUUACUAAGAGGGCCCAGAGAUACCUCUUCGACAAUCGGAGUGACAAAACCUAAUCUCGAAAUACGCCAACUCAACAUGUACCUUUGGAGAUAGCUGUAGAGCUCCUUUAUAAUCACCCAGUUACGUUGUGACGUUUGGUAGCACACAAAGUGUUCCUCCGAUAAACGGGAGUUGCAUAAUCUCAUAGUUAUAGGAACAUGUAUAAGUCAUGAAGAAAGCAGUAGCAACAUACUAAAUGAUCAAGUGCUAAGCUAACGGAAUGGGUCAUGUUAAUCACAUCAUUAUCCUAAUUAUGUGAUCCCGUUAAUCAAAUGACAACUCAUGUCUAUGGUUAGGAAACAUAACCAUCUUUGAUUAAUGAGCUAGUCAAGUAGAGGCAUACUAGUGACAUUAAGUUUUGUCUAUGUACUCACACAUGUAUCAUGUUUCCGGCUAAUACAAUUCUAGCAUGAAUAAUAAAAAUUCAUCAUGAUAUAAGGAAAUAAAUAAUAACUUUAUUAUUGCCUCUAGGGCAUAUUUCCUUCAGUCUCCCACUUGCACUAGAAUCAAUAAUCUAGUUCACAUCGCCAUGUGAUUUAACACCAAUAUUCACAUCUGUAUGUGAUUAAUACCCAAUAGUUCACAUUGUCAUGUGAUCAACACCCAAAGGGUUUACUAGAGUCAAUAAUCUAGUUCACAAAUCUAUGUGAUUAACACCCAAAGAGUACUAAGGUAUGAUCAUGUUUUGCUUGUGAGAGAAGUUUAGUCAAUGGGUCUGUCACAUUCAGAGCCGUAUGCAUUUUGCAAAAAUUCUAUGUCUACAAUGCUCUGCACGGAGCUACUUUAGAUAAUUGCUCCCACUUUUAAUAUGUAUCCAGAUUAAGACUUAGAGUCAUCUGGAUCAAUGCCAAAACUUGUAUUGACGUAACCCUUUACGACGAACCUUUUUUCACCUCCACAAUCGAGAAACAUAUCCUUAUUCCACUAAGGAUAAAUUUGACCAAUGUCCAGUGAUCUACUCCUAGAUCACUAUUGUACUCCCUUGCCAAACCAGGACAGAGUAUACAAUAGGUCUGGUCCAUAGCAUGACAUACUUUUAUAGAACCUAUGACUGAUGCAUAGGGAAUGACUUUCAUUCACUUUCUAUUUUCUGCCGUGGUCCGGAUUUGAGUCUUACUCAAUUUCUUACCUUUGCAACAUAGGCUAGAACUCUUUCUUUGACUGUUCCACUUUGAACUAUUUCAAAAUCUUGUCAAGGUAUGUACUCAUUGAAAAUAUUAUCAAGCGUCUUGAUCUAUCUCAAUAGAUCUUGAUGCUCAAUAUGUAAGUAGCUUUACUGAGGUCUUUCUUUUAAAGAACUCCUUUCAAACACUUCUUUAUGCUUUCCAGAAUUUUUUUAUAUCAUUUCUGAUCAACAAUAUGUCACUCACAUAUACUUAUCAGAAAGGCUGUAGUGCUCCCACUCAUUUUAUUGUAAAUGCAUGCUUCACUGCAAGUCCAUAUAAAACUAUAUGCUUUGAUCAAAGCGUAUAUUCCAACUCCGAGAUGCUUGCACCAGUCCAUAGUUGGAUCGCUAGAGCUUGCACAAUUUGUUAGCACCUUUAGGAUUGACAAAACCUUCUGAUUGCAUCAUAUACAACUCUUCUUUAAUAAAUCCAUUAAAGAAUGCAGUUUUGACAUCCAUUUGCCAGAUUUCAUAAAAUGUGGCAAUUGCUAAUAUGAUUCGGACAGACUUAAGCAUCGAUACGAGUGAGAAAAUCUCAUCGUAUUCAACACCUUAAACUUGUCAAAAAACUUUUGCGACAAGUCGAGCUUUGUAGAUAGUAACACUACUAUCAGCGUCUGUCUUCCUCUUGAAGAUCCAUUUAUCUUCCAUGGCUUGCCGAUCAUCGGGCAAGUCCACCAAAGUCCACACUUUGUUCUCAUACAUGGAUCUCAUCUCAGAUUUUAUGGUCUCAACCCAUUUUGCGGAAUCUGGGAUCAUCAUCGCUUCCUCAUAGUUUGUAGGUUCAUCAUGGUAUAGUAACAUGACCUCCAUAAUAGGAUUACCGUACCACUCCGGUGCGGAUCUUACUCUGGAAGACCUACGAGGUUCUGUAGUAACUUAAUCUGAAGUUUCAUGAUCAUCAUCAUUAGCUUCCUCACUAACUGGUGUAGGAAUCACUGGAACUGAUUUCUGUGAUGAACUACUUUCCAAUUCGGGAGAAGGUACAAUUACCUUAUCAAGCUCUACUUUCCUCCCACUCACUUCUUUCGAGAGAAACCCCUUCUCUAGAAAGGAUCCAUCUUAGCAACGAAUAUUUUGCCUUCGGAUCUGUGAUAGAAGGUGUACCCAACAAUUUCCUUUGGGUAUUCUAUGAAGACGCACUUCUCUGAUUUGGGUUCGAGCUUAUCAGGUUGAAAUUUUUUCUCAUAAGCAUCGCAGCCCCAAACUUUAAGAAACGACAGCUUAGGUUUAUUGCUAAACCAUAGUUCAUACGGUGUCGUCUCAACGGAUUUAGAUGGUGCCCUAUUUUAACGUGAAUGCAGCUGUCUCUAAUGCAUAGCCCCAAAACAAUAUUGGUAAAUCGGUAAGAGACAUCAUAGAUCGCACCAUAUCCAAUAAAGUGCGGUUACGACGUUCGAACGCACCACUACGAUGUGGUGUUCCAGGUGGCAUGAAUUGUGAGACUAUUCCACAUUGUUUUUAUACGAAAGCCAAACUCGUAACUCAAAUAUUCUCCUCCACGAUCAGAUCGUAGAAACUUUAUUUUCUUGUUACGAUGAUUCUCCACAUCACUCUGAAAUUCUUUGAACUUUUCAAAUGUUUCAGACUUGUGUUUUAUUAAGUAGAUAUACUCAUAUCUUGCUCAAAUCAUCUUGUGAAGGUCUGAAAAUAACGAUACCCGCCACGAGCAUCAAUACUCAUUGGACCGCAUACAUCAGCAUGUAUUAUUUCCAAUAAGUCACUAGCUCGUUCCAUUGUUCCGGAGAACGGAGUUUUAGUCAUCUUGCCCAAAAGGCACGGUUCGCAAGCAUCAAAUGAUUCAUAACCAAGUGAUUCCAAAAAUCCAUCUUUAUGGAGUUUCUUCAUGCGCUUUACACCGAUAUGACCCAAACGGUAGUGCCACCAAUAAGUUGCACUAUCACUAUAAACUUUGCAUCUUUUUGGCAUCAAUAUUAUGAAUAUGUGUAUCACUACGAUCGAGAUCCAAUAAACUAUUUUCAUUGGGUGUAUGACCAUCGAAGGUUUUAUUCAUGUAAAUAGAACAACAAUUAUUCUCUGACUUUAAAUGAAUAACCAUAUUGCAAUAAACAUGAUCAAAUCAUAUUUAUGCUCAACGCAAAAGCCAAAUAACAUUUAUUUAGGUUUAACACUAAUCCCAAAAGUAUAGGGAGUGUGCGAUGAUGAUCAUAUCAAUCUUGGAACUACUUCCAACACUGAUCGUCACUUCACCCUCAACUAGUCUCUGUUUAUUCUGUAACUCUUGUUUCGAGUUACUAAUUUUUUAGCAACCGAACAAGUAUCAAAUACUCAGGGGCUACUAUAAACACUAGUAAGGUACACAUCAAUAACCCGUAUAUCAAAUAUACCCUUGUUCACUUUGCCAUCCUUCUUAUCCACCAAAUAUUCAGGGCAUUUGCGAUUCCAGUGACCAUUUCCUUUGCAGUGUAAGAACUCAGUUUCAGGCUUUGGUCCAGCCUUGGGCUUCUUCACGGGAGUGACAACUUGCUUGUCAUUCUACUUGAAGUUCCCUUUCUUUCCCUUUGCCCUUUCUUUGAAACUAGUGGUCUUGUUAAUCAUCAACACUUGAUGCUCUUUCUUGAUUUCUACCUUCGUCGAUUUCAGCAUCACGAAGAACUCGGGAAUCGUUUUCAUCAUCCCUUGCAUUAUAGUUCAUCACGAAGUUCCAGUAACUUGGUGAUGGUGACUAGAGAACUCUGCCAAUCACUAUCUUAUCUGGAAGAUUAACUCCCACUUGAUUCAAGCGAUUGUAGUACUCAGACAAUCUCAGUACUUGCUCACUAUUUGAGUAAUUCUCCUCCAUCUUUUAGGCGAAGUAUUUGUCAAAGGUCUCAUACCUCUUGACACGGGCAUGAGUCUGAAAUACCAAUUUCAUCUCUUGAAACAUAUUAUAUGUUCCAUGAUGUUUCAAAAACGUUUUUGUAGUCCCGGUUCUAAGACAUAAAGCAUGGUGCACAAAACUAUCAAGUAGUCAUCAUAUUGAGCUAGGCAAACGUUCAUAACGUCUGAAUCUGCUCCUGCAAUAGGUCUGUCACCUAGCGGUGCAUAAAGGACAUAAUUCUUCUGUGCAGCAAUGAGGAUAAACCUCAGAUCACGGACCAAGUCCGCAUCAUUGCUACUAACAUCUUUCAACUUAGUUUUCUCCAGGAACACAUAUAAAACAUAGGGAAGCAACAACGCGAGCUAUUGAUCUACAACAUAAUUUGCAAAAUACUACCAGGACUAAGUUCAUGAUAAAUUAAAGUUCAAUUAAUCAUAUUACUUAAGAACUCCCACUUAGACAGACAUCUCUCUAGUCAUCUACGUGAUCACGUAAUCCAAAUCAACUAAACCAUGUCCGAUCAUCACGUGAGAUGGAGUAGUUUUCAAUGGUGAACAUCACUAUGUUGAUCAUAUCUACUAUAUGAUUCACGUUCGACCUUUCGGUCUCCAUGUUCCGAGGCCAUAUCUGUAUAUGCUAGGCUCGUCAAGUUUAACCUGAGUAUUCCACAUGUGCAACUGUUUUGCACCCGUUGUAUUUGAACGUAGAGCCUAUCACACCCGAUCAUCACGUGGUGUCUCAGCACGAAGAACUUUCACAAUGGUGCAUACUCAGGGAGAACACUUCUUGAUAAUUAGUGAGAGAUCAUCUUAAAAUGCUACCGUCAAUCAAAGCAAGAUAAGAUGCAUAAAGGAUACACAUCACAUGAAUCAACAUAAGUGAUAUGAUAUGGCCAUCAUCAUCUUGUGUUUGUGGUCUCCAUCUCCGAAGCACCGUCGUGGUCACCAUUGUCACCGGAGCGACACCUUGAUCUCCAUCGUAGCAUCGUUGUUGUUUCGCCAUCUAUUGCUUCUACGACUAUCGCUACCGCUUAGUGAUAAAGUAAAGCAAUUACAGGGUGCUUGCAUUUCAUACAAUAAAGCGACAACCAUAUGGCUCCUGCCAGUUGCCGAUAACUCAGUUACAAAACAUGAUCAUUUCAUACAAUAAAAUAUAACAUCACGUCUUGACCAUAUCACAUCACAACAUGCCCUGCAAAAACAAGUUAGACGUCCUCUACUUUGUAGUUGCAAAUUUUACGUGGCUGCUACAGGCUAAGCAAGAACCGUUCUUACCUACGCAUAAAAACCACAACGAUAGUUCGUCAAGUUAGUGCUGUUUUAACCUUCACAAGGACCGGGCGUAGCCACACUCGGUUCAACUAAAGUUGGAGAAACUGACACCCGCCAGCCACCUGUAUGCAAAGCACGUCGGUAAAACCAGUCUCGCGUAAGUGUACGUGUAAUUUCGGUCCAGGCCGCUUCAUCCAACAAUAUCGCCGAACCAAAGUAUGACUUGCUGGUAAGCAGUAUGACUUGUAUCGCCCACAACUCACUUGUGUUCUACUCGCGCAUAUAACAUUUACGCAUAAAACCUGGCUCGGAUGCCACUAUUGGGGAACGUAGUAAUUUCAAAAAAUUUCCUACGCAUACGCAAGAUCAUGGUGAUGCGUAUCAACAAGAGGGGAGAGUGUUGUCUACGUACCCUCAUAGACCGAAAGCGGAAGCGUUAGAACAAUUUGGUUGAUGUAGUCGUACGUCUUCACGGCCCGAUCAAUCAAGCACCAAAACUACGGCACCUCCGAGUUCUAGCAUACGUUCAGCUCGAUGACAUCCUUCAAACUUCGAUCCAGCCAAGUGUCGAGGGAGAAUUCCGUUAGCACGACGGCGUGGUGACGAUCUUGAUGUUCUACCGUCGCAGGGCUUCUCCUAAGCACCGCUACAAUAUUAUCGAGGAGGACUAUGAUGGAGGGGGGGGGCACCGCACACGACUAAGAGAUCAAGAGAUCAAUUGUUGUGUCUAGAGGUGCCCCCUGCCCCCGUAUAUAAAGGAUCAAGGGGGAGGAGGCGGCCGGCCAGGAGGAGGCGCGCCAAGGGGGGAGUCCUACUCCCACCGGGAGUAGGACUCCUCCUUCCCUUGUUGGCGUAGGAGAGAAGGGAAGAGGGGGAGAGGAGGAAGGAAAAGGGGGCUGCACCCCUUGUCCAAUUCGGACCAGAGGGGGGCUGCGCGCCUCCUUCCUUUCGGCCUCUCUCCUCUAUUCCCGUAUGGCCCAGUAAGGCCCAUAUACUCCCACACGAAUUCACGUAACUCUCCGGUACUCCGAAAAAUACCCGAAUCACUCGGAACCUUUCUGAAGUCCGAAUAUAGUCAUCCAAUAUAUCGAUCUUUACGUGUCGACCAUUUCGAGACUCCUCGUCAUGUCCCCGAUCUCAUCUGGGACUCCGAACUCCUUCGGUACAUCAAAACUCAUAAACUCAUAAUAUAACUGUCAUUGAAACCUUAAGCGUGUGGACCCUACGGGUUCGAGAACUAUGUAGACAUGACCGAGACACGUUUCCGGUCAAUAACCAAUAGCGAAACCUGGAUGCUCAUAUUGGCUCCUACAUAUUCUACGAAGAUCUUUUAUCGGUCAAACCGCAUAACAAUAUACGUUGUUCCCUUUGUCAUCGGUAUGUUACUUGCCCGAGAUUUGAUCGUCGGUAUCCAAUACCUAUUUCAAUCUCGUUACUGGCAAGUCUCUUUACUCGUUCCGUAAUGCAUCAUUUCGUAACUAACUCAUUAGUUACAUUGCUUGCAAGGCUUAUAGUGAUGUGCAUUACCGAGAUGGCCCAGAGAUACCACUCCGACAAUCGAAGUGACAAAACCUAAUCUCGAAAUAUGCCAACUCAACAUGUAUCUUUGGAGACACCUGUAGAUCUCCUUUAUAAUCACCCAGUUAUGUUGUGAUGUUUGGUAGCACACAAAGUGUUCCUCUGGUAAACGGGAGUUGCAUAAUCUCAUAGUUGUAGGCACAUGUAUAAGUCAUGAAGAAAGUAUACGCCAACUCAACAUGUACCUUUGGAGACACCUGUAGAGCUCCUUUAUAAUCACCCAGUUACGUUGUGACGUUUGGUAGCACACAAAGUGUUCCUCCGGUAAACGGGAGUUGCAUAAUCUCAUAGUUGUAGGAACAUGUAUAAGUCAUGAAGAAAGCAGUAGCAACAUACUAAACGAUCAAGUGCUAAGCUAACGGAAUGGGUCAUGUCAAUCACAUCAUUCUCCUAAUGAUGUGAUCCCGUUAAUCAAAUGACAACUCAUGUCUAUCGUUAGGAAACAUAACCAUCUUUGAUUAAUGAGCUAGUCAAGUAGAGGCAUACUAGUGACAUUAAAUUUUGUCUAUGUAUUCACACAUGUAUCAUGUUUCCGGCUAAUACAAUUCUAGCAUGAAUAAUAAACAUUCAUCAUGAUAUAAGGAAAUAAAUAAUACCUUUAUUAUUGCCUCUAGGGCAUAUUUCCUUCAAUGUUAGCUAGCAUUACACAUCAAAAUUUUUGUUUUUAUCAUUUACCUAUUCGAGGAUGAGCAGGAAUUAAGCUUGAGGAUGUUGACAUGUCCAACAUAUCUAUAAUUUUUUAUUGUUUCAUGCUAUCAUAUGAUCAAUCUUGGAUGCUUUAUAUGUAUUUUAUACUAUUUUAUAUCUUUUUGGACUAACCUAUUAUUUUGAAAAAAAAUUGAAUUGUUUGGAUUGCUUACCACAUGUGUCACGUGGUUUGGGACUAACUUUUUAACCCAAUGCCUAGUGCUAGUUAAUGUUUUUUUUGCUUGUUUUUGGCUCUUCAGAAAAACAAUACCAAAUGAACUUCAAACAUGAUGAAACUUUACGGUAAUUUUUUCUGGACUAGAAGAGGCCCUAGAAGGUUCGGGAGGAGGCUAGAAGAUCUACGGAAGAGCCACGAGCUCACAGGGCACGCCCCCGAGCUCAUGGGCCCCACGCAGCUCCGUUUGACCUAAUUUCAACUCCAUAACUUCACAUAUAUUUCCAAACCAAUAGAGAGCCACCCGAAACACUUUUUUUCCACCGCAAGCUUCUGUUCUUCCGUGAUCCCAUCUGGAGGCCUUUUCCGGUACUCUGCCGGAGGAGGAAUCGAUCAUGGAGGGCUUCUAUAUCAUCCUUGCUGCCUUUCGAUGAUGCAUGCAUAGUUCAUGACAGACCUACGGGUCCAUAUCUAGUAGGUAGAUGGCUUCAUCUCUCUCUUUGAUCUUCAAUACAAUGUUCUCCUCGAUUUUCUUAGAGCUUUUUUAUCCUAUGUAAUCUUUUUUUGCGGUGCGUUUAUUGGGAUGCAGUGAAUUAUGGGUUUAUGAUCAAAUUAUUAACUGAAAGUAAUUGUGUCUUUUCUGAGCUUUAUUAUGCAUGAUUGUUAUAGCUUCGUAUUAUCCUCCGAUCAAUUCGUUUGGUUUCGCCAACUAGAUUGAUUUAUCUUCAGUGGGAGAGGUGCUUUGUAAUGGGUUCAAUCUUGCGGUGUCCUCAUAUAGUGACAGAAGGGGAAGCAAGGCACAUAUAGUAUCGUUGCCAUUAAGGAUAAAACGACGUGGUUUAAUCAUAUUUCUUGAGUUUACUUUGUCUAGAUCAUGUCAUCUUGCUUAAGGUGUUACUCUGUUUGCCAUGAACUUAAUACGAUAGAUGCAUGCUAAAUAGCGGUCGAUUGGUGGAGUAAUACUAGUAGAUGUAGGCAGGAGUCGAUCUACUUGUCACAGACAUGACUAUAUACAUGAUCAUUGCCAUGAAUAUGUCAUAACUAUGUGUUUUUCUAUCGGUUGUCUAACAGUAAUUUGUUUACCCACAAUAUGCUACGUGUUCGAGAGAGAAGCCUCUAAUGAAAACUAUGGCGCUAGGUCUACUUUUAUCAUAUUAUUAAAACUAAAAAUACCUUCAUGCAAUUUUAUACUUUUUUUACUUUUCUUUUUAUCUAUCUAUCACUAUCAGAAUUAAUCCUUGCAAAUAAUGAGUUCAAGGGGAAUGACAAGACUCUUGCCGCGUUGGGUGCAAGUAUUUGCUUUUGUGUGUGUAGGUGCUGAAAAAGGGAAUUUGCGUGGUUCUCCUAUUGGUUUGAUAACCUUGGUUCUCACUGACGGGAAUACUUAUCUCUAUUGUAUUGCUCCACCCAUCCUCUUGGGGGAAAUCCCAACGCAGUUUAGAAGUAGCACUACUCCUCCUUCCUCCUCCAUAGACGCUUGGCGAAGCCCUGCCACAGCUCCACCAUAAAAUCCACCACCACGCCAUCGUGUUGGCCUAGAUCUCAUCUACCUAUCCCUGUCGCUUGCUGGAUGAAGGAGACAUCACCGAGCCAUACGUGUGCAUAUCCCUGAGGUGUCAUUCGUGCGGUGCUGGAUCGGAUUGGAUCACGAAGAGUGUACGACUACGCCAAGCACAUUCAUUAGAACGUUUCUGUUUUAGGUCUAGAAGGGUUUGUAGACUUUUCCCCCUCGUUGCUAGCAUCUAGUUGAUUAGAUCUCGGAUGUUUUCAUUGUCUCGUAGGAAAAAAAUUGUUUUUCAUGCAUUGAUUCUCAUCACCGACCUGCUUCAAAAGAAGCAGGUAGGAGCCCAGGCGGCCCGAGCUCAGCAGGUUGCCGGGUGGGAGGUCCCUAACAGGUGCAUCCAAGAAUGCAACAACCUCCAAGUAGAGAAGGCGUCCCUAACCGAGAGGACGAGACAACAAGAGCUGGAGCUGGAAGAAGUUAAGUCUCGCCUGGUCGAUGCCGGGAGCGUCGCGGCGGGCCCUUGAGAUCAUAGCCAGUGAGUCUGUCCAUGCUUCAACUCAUAAACUAGGUGGAAAUUUUAUUUGCCGAUCUGACAUACAAAUUCAUUAUUUCCAGCAUCUUUUCCCGACCUGCCAGCCAAUGCUGUUGGAGCGUCCCUUAGGGAGAAACUGCAGCAGUUUGGAGAGUUAAACAAGAUUGCGAGGCCGGUAAUGGAGGGUAUUUUCUUGGCCCUAUGGCCUGGAAGAAAGGUUGUCGGAAAACCAGUUUGACCUCUGCCGCCGCCUCCAGGAGGGGCAUGCUCGGAUUGCCCUGUGAAAGGCGUUAGUGGCCUGAGAAGAUGCUCGUCAAGCGUGGGCCAUGCUCCAGACCCACUAUCCGGGCUUGAACAUCUGCCCUAUUGCCGUAGUUGGUCCAAAAGGACCUGACGGUAAGGAGAUUAUGCCCUAUGCUAGGAUGUCCGAGCAGGAUUGUCGUUUGAAAAGAUUAUUGAAUAGGCUAGGAGUGUUACCCUGGAUUGUCAAGGACGAAACGUUGAAUAAAAACUUCUCGAAUUUCGCUACCACCAUGUUUAUUUUUUUCUAUACCAACAACAUGAUAGGUUUGCUCCGACCUGUUAGCAUACGCUUGCAUUAACCGGCCUUUGGCUUCAACCUCAACAACCAAAUGUGGAGGCCUUAUAAUUGAUGUUAACGCAAUGAGUAGGGAUCACCAUGCAACUAGGAUGCAAACAUAUCUAUGAAUAUAUGAAAUAUCUCGCAAGGAUUAAGUGGGGGUGUGUCCAACUUGUUUGCUCAUGAAGACCUCAAGCAUUUGAUAAAGCUCAUCAUCGGGAUAUACAAGGAAAAUUAUACAAUAUAAAUUCCCCAAGCUAGUAUAAAACAUGAAGCUCAUGAAACUUUAAUUAGAUGUAAAUUGUCCAGACCAACAAAAGUUCUUUAGUAAGGGUCUCUGACGAGAAUUUAUUUCAUCGAAAGUGUCCUACUCAGCUUGAGCUCAUAUGAAUUUUUUUAUUGCCGUGAAAAAGAUGAAUGCCAUUCUAUGAUGAAACCUUGCAAGGAUUUAUAACAUUUGUCAAAUUAAGCCACACACAAAAAAUCAGAAAUUUUUGAAUUCUCUCUAAAUAUUUUCAGAUUUUAUUGCUCACCCGAGCUCAUAUGAGCUCGAGCUCAGUUAAUCCGUGUCCAUGUUUCAUCCUACUCUACUAGCAAAAACCAAUGGAGCAGACGGUAGUGACGUGGAAAAGAAACCAUAACAAAUUUUUAGUGAUAUAUAAUUAAAGAAACAGAAAUUUACAAUUGCAAAUUAGGGAAUCUUAAUGUCAAAUACUGAAUUCUUCCACCCACUAGCUGUGAGACAUAUCCAUUGCAGUGCCAAAUAAAGAAGCUUUUCCAUGAAUUAAUAACAACAAGACAAUGGUCCGCGUGUUGUAUAUAAUAAAUAGAGUCCUGCUUCGGUACAACCCCCCUCGCAAUAUGUAUAAAGGGUAAUAUGGACUUUUCACAAUCUGUAUCUACUUCUGUACGUAACAUAUACGCCAGGCAGCUUACUUGGGCCGGCCCAUUUGCGGUGGCAUGCGAUGAAAAAUAGCGAAAAAGGAUCACACAAACUGGGAAUCGAAACCGACGACCACUUCAAAAUUUAACUGCGUCCACAACCACUGCGAUAGCAUGCCUUUGUUGAAUGAUCUAAAGUUGGAAACAAUAAAUAAUUGACAGGCUGGGAAUUUUAAAAAGAUUUCAGUAACACUUUCUGAACUGGCGUUUUUUCCAUAAUUUCUUUCUAUUUAUUUUCCUUUUCCUGCUAUUCUUCUUUCUUUUUCAAAAAUGUUCGCGCUUUCAAAAUGUUGUUCCAAAUUUCAAACGGUUCAUUAUUUCCAAGUUUUGUUCAUAAACUAAAAAUAUUUGCAUUUUUGAAAAUUGUAUUGUAAUUUGAAAAAAUGUUUGUGACUUUGAAAAAAUGUUCAGAAUGUAAAAUGUGAAUAAUGUUUUGAAAACCACAAAUAAAAUUGUGAAAAUGAACAUUUUCUGAGAGCACGGACAAAAAAUUAAAUUCCAAAGCAUUUUUCAGAAAUGAGACUAAAUAAAUGAUCUCAUAAAAUUAUUCUAAAUUUACACGAUUAUUUUUUAAAAUUUGUCAGAAUAUUUUUGAAAAUGAGAACAUUUUCUAAAUUCCGAACAAAUUCCAGUAGUCGCCCGACAAGAGCGAUGCCGUUGCUUAGUUGGGCAAGGCCUAAAGUUUUUUCUUUUCUAUUUUUUCGUUUUAUUCUCUUUUUUGUUAAUUUAUCUUUUCACCUUUUUGAACUUUAUGGUUCUUUUUUUUAACCUGCUCAAAAAAUUGAAAUACCAAAAUAAUAGUUUUAAGGAACUAUUUUAAAUUAUGAUUUUAAUUCUUUUUUUGUUUCAAUAUUUCUUAAAUGCUUUUUAAAAAGCAUCUGUUGUUUUCAAUUCUAUUAUUUAGUAUUUAUUGAUUAUUUUAGAAAUUUAAAAUGACAGUUUGAAGUAUCUAUAUAAAUUAUGAUUUUAAAUGACCCCAACAUUUGCCAGCUGGUGGCAUGGCCAUGGUAGGCAUCCAUGCCCCAAUAUUCUUUCAUGGCCUCGUAUGACCAAUUCAAUGCACCAUGACAAGUUGUUUUGGUUUUCGACAAAUUUUGUAUUUUUCUAGAGUUUUCUCGAUAAGAAAAUGCAAAAAAAGGCCGGACGUGUUGCAACUUUCAUACUGUGUCAGAAAUUGUUCAAACCUGGCAUGGAUGCCUAUGAGGGGCAUGCCCAUCUGGUGGCAAAAGUUGGGGCCAUUUUAAGGAUGUACUCCCUCCGUCCGAAAAUACUUGUCAUCAAAAUGGAUAAUAAGGGAUGUACGUAGAACUAAAAUACAUGUAGAUACAUCUCCUUUUAUCCAUUUUGAUGACAAGUAUUUUCGGACGGAGGAAGUAUAAAUAGACCAUGUUGAACAAACUGUGUUCUCGGGCAGAAGGAUUCGUCUGAGAGCAUGUUAGUUCUCGACAUCCUUGAAAUUAAUCCAAUUUUUUUCAAGGGCCUCGUAUGACCAAUUCAAGGCAUCAUGGAAAGUUGUUUGGGUUUUCAACAAGUUUUGCAUUUCCUGGAGUUUCUUGGUGAAAAAGUAACAAUUAAUGAUAGAACAUGUCGCAACGUGCAUACGGUGUCGGAAGUCAUUCAGACCAAGUAUGGAUGCCUAACAUGGGCAUGCCCACUUGCUUGCAAAAGUUGGGGGUAGUCCUGAUAUUUCCAAAGAAAUACCAUGUUGGAUGGAGAGUGUUCGAAUAGGCUAGAAGGAUCUGUUUGCGAGCUCCAUUUCUCAUGGCCUUGUAUAACCAAUUCAAGGCACCACACCAAAUUGUUUUGGUUUUGUCCAAUUUUGCGUUUUCUGAAGUUUUUGUGGUUAAGAAGGCCGAUAAAUGACCGGAUGUGUCAACACUUGAAUAUGGUGUAGAAAAACGUCCAAACUAGGCAUGUGCCUACCAUGGGCAUGCCUACCUUCUUGCAAAAGUGGGGUUCAUUUUAAAGAUGUUCAAAAAUAGACUAUGUUCAACGGAGAGUGUUCGAAUAGUGCAGAAGGGUCCGUUUGAAAGCUCGUUGUUUACUGACAUCUGUCAAAUAACCCCAAAUAUUUUUCAUGAGCUUCUAUGACCAAUUCAAGGCACAAUGCCAAUUUGUUUAGAUUUUUGAAAAGUUUUGUAUUUUCUAGAGUUUUCUCAUUGAAAGUAGGCCGAUAAAUGGUCGGACGUGUCACAACAUGUAAAGGGUGUCGGAAGUCAUUCAAACCUGGCGUGGAUGCCUCAUAUGUCCAAGCCAGGCUCUUGCAAGAAGGUGGGAUCAUUUAUCAAUAGCCUAAAAUAUACCAGUUAGAUGAGUUUAUUUCUAAUUCCCUUCAUUAUCACUCAACAUAAACAUUUUAUUUUUUCCUAACAAUUUCUUGAAAUUUCUCAACAAUUUUGGAACUUCAAAGUGUGUAUGAAAAAUUUACUAACUUGAACACUUUUUUCCAAAAUUGUUAACAAAUUACGAAAGAAUGAUGAAAAUUUCGAACAAAAAAGCAAACCGCGUACUUCUUAAAAAAAUUGUCAACUUUUUUGAAACACAUACAUUUCUUAAAUUUGUGAACAACAAAAUUCGAAAACUAGAACAUUUUAUGAAAUUCCAGAAUAUUUUUUAUAAUUUAAACAAUAUUUGAAAACAAAAUCAUUUUAUGUUAUGCCAAACAUUUUUUCCAAAAUUUGAACAAGUUUCACAAAGAUUAAUAAAGUUCAAAAGUAGAAAAAUGAAUUAACAAAAAGAGAAAAAAAAAGAAACUAACUGCAAUGAAAAAAAUGCUUAGGCCCUAGAAAAUAAGAAUGUUUCCGGAAAAUUUAAGUAUAUUUGGAAAAAUAUUCGUAAAUUUUAAAAAUUGUUUGUGUUUUUGAAUAAUGCUCGCCAAUUUGAAAAAGUUUUGCAUUUUAAAAAAAUGUUCAGAUAUUUCAAAAUUGUUUAUGUUUUCAAGAAAAUGGUCACAAAUGUGAUAAAUUAUUCAUCUUUUCAAAAAAAUCUGCAGUUUCAGAUAUAUGUUUACAAUACUGAAAAACUGUUCUUAAACUUUCAAAAAUAUUCACAAAAUCAAAGUAUUUUUCAUAAAAAAGGGUUCGGGAAUUUGAAAAAAAUGCGUUUCCAAAAGAAGUCCAAAUUUUGAAAAAUGUUUCGUAUUUUUAAAAAUAUUCCAAUAGAUGAAAAAACACAUUAGGUUUUUUAGCUAUAAAAAAUGCUUUAGCUAGAAUGUCCUGCCCAGUUGUGUUUUCCAAAAGAAGUCCGUGCACCAAUUUUGAUCUGCUAGAGUAUUUCUAGUAAAAAAAAAGCUCCUACAGUACGUCUGUUCUAGGUAAUAAACAACUACACUUCAAAAAUAUCAGCAAAUCCAGAUGGUUCUGGUGGCUAUUAGCAGUUUCCCAACCGCUGGAGGUCCUGUGUUCGAUGCCCAAUAGGCACACUAUGUUUUGGAUUUUUGAUCGGUGCUACCGCACAUACUCUCUCUAAUGGGCCGGCCCAAAAUAGACUCAGAACAUGACAGAUCUUCGCGACGUAUUUUCUUGAAAGACCAUCCUACUCUUUAUUAUGAAAAGGUAUAGACAGAUCUCGUCCAUUGAUGUAUUCGGGGGUUGUGCCGAAGAAGAAGAUAUAGACCUAUGAGGAAUUACGUAUGCAUGCUCAAGAACCUAUGUUCGUACAUACAUACACAAAAUCAUAUAGAACAAAAGGUAUGCUCCGGUCAGAAAGCAGAGUCGUACAGCAGAGUUUUGGACAAAAGUGAAGUUCACAAAAGACCUUCAUACGAGAUAGGCCAUUGUUUCAACUCGUAGUUUAGGCCUUGCCGGACUCCUCGCAACCCGGUGGCCUAAAGGCGAUGAAGCUGACGCACUGCACCUGGCGCAGGUUGUCGAAGCCGAUGACACGGACAUAGGCGUCAGGGUACUCCUUCUUGACCUCCUCCACCUCGUUCAGCACCUGUGUGGCGUCAGUGCACCCGAACAUAGGCAGCUUCCACAUUGUCCAGUAUCGGCCGUCGUAGUACCCGGGGGAGCUGUUGUGCUCACGGAAGACGAAGCCAACCUUGCUGAACUCGAGGCAGGGCACCCACUUUGAGCGGAUCAGGUAGUCGACCUGUUUCAGGAGGGCCUCCGUGGAUAGGGGUGGCAGGUAAGACAGGGUCUCGAACUUCUUGAUGCCCUCAAUUGGCCACACCUAAAUGAAUAGAAUGCGCACAGAUGCUCAAUACUUGGUGAUAAGUCAAUUAAUUGUACUAAACUACGCUAGAAAAAAUCAGUCGACAAGCCAAAAAUUGCUCCUUAUGGGCAGCUCUCAUAUGCAUUGCUGGGUUGUUCACAAUCAAUAAAGCUUUGGUUGUACUUAGUGCUAGUAUAUGGGUCCUAUUUCGAGGAUGGGUUUGGUUAUAUACAUUGGGGAUGUUCUGCAAGUGAAUUACUUGCACUGACAAAGAAACUCAUAUCUGUUUAAUUAGUGCCCGACAUACCUGCAUGCACCUGAUCCUUCCGCCAUUGCUGACGCUGCUGAGGCUGCCGCUGGAGCGGCGGCCGACGGGGAGACCGGCUGUGGACUUGAGCCCCUGGAAGGGUGCGACGGUGGUAGCCGAGGAAGCCAUCACGGCGGGGGCCAUGGUAAUGUAUUAUCUGGAGGAGAGGAGGAUGCCGGCUACACUUGAGACCCCAUUGCCUGGUCACCACGCUAUAUAUAGCAGCGUUUCUUUCGUACAGAUGUGGUAGGGGUGGCUCACGUUCGCUGGUUGCCUCGUUUCCUUAUCUUCUCCGGAUCAGUGGAAGAAGCAUAUCCGUCGGAUGCAUUGUGUGUGCUGGAAAUUGUGUGAGGAUGGGACUUGAGUGGUUCGGCCAAAAUAUUUUUCAUUUUAUUAUAAGAUCUGCUGGCUCACUCUCUCGAAAGUGCUCAUAGGCGAAGAAUAUGCGUGUGUGCAUUCAUAAGAGAUGAUGUACAUGUGCCUAUGUGAACAUCCACGUUUGUACAAUGUUUCUCAAAAUAAAAUAUAUGUUUUCUUGGUACAAUUAACUGAACAAGCAUAGUAACCGUCCACAGGUAGAACAAGUUCUUUCCCUCUCGCAUGGCGAUUAGGGAAAGCUUUCCUCCCCUCGAUAUCCGCCGGCGAGCCUGUGGAUUUGCCUCCCCUCUGCGGGAAGGGGAUUCCUAGUGUCUCGUCUCCGGCUAGUAGAUGGGUAGGGUUUUUGUCCUCAGAGGGGUGACACUUGGACGGAUAGCGGCGCUUUUUCUUCAAGUUAGUCUUUCAGGAUCCGAUCCUAUUGAAGUUCCUCUAUUUGGGGAGCUCCGACGUAGAUUUGGCGAGCUCCUCGGGUGGCAAGGUUAGAAUUUCUCGUUAUGUGUGCGAACAAUGAAAUUUUGUGUCAGGGUCUUCAGAUCGAUUCAGGGAUUCAACGGCGACGACUGCCGCAAGAGCACUGAUCCUUAGAGGCAUGUGCAUGAAGACUCACUGGCUAUCAUCGACAAGGUCAUGCUAGCUCCAGUGUGGGAGCAAGAACAAUGGUGUGUUAGCGGCUCGUCUUCGCAGAGGCAAUGGCCAUUCGAUGGUCCAUGGACCUAGAUAAAUUUUUUAAUGUUUGAGGUGAUUUCUGCUUCCGGUGAAUCUUUAUAAUAGAUCUUGUCCUUUAGGCCAAAAAAAAAGAAACUAAACUAGGGUAGUGGCGCUUUCAUCCUAAUAUUACAUUCUUUAACAAAAAUAUUUUAAUAUAUACUAGCAAAAUGGCCCGUGUGUUGGAAUGGGAGAAAAGAAUACCACACGCUUUUAAUUUAUAAAAAAUGGUCUAGAUAAUCUGAAUAUUGGUAGCUACGGCCCAAACAAAGAUGGUCUUUGCCUACAAAAACGCAAGUUCAAGAUUCCACAUGCAUGUCUUCUAUUUAAACACGACUUGCAUGUAGAUUUAAUACAUACAAAGAAAUGGGCAAGUGAUCUUCAAUUUCGUUUCCAAUCCUGAUUUUGCUGAGAUGUGCAUCCACAAUCCGGAUCAGUACUGAUAUGAAAGAAAGAUGGAUAAUGCAUUAUAUUAACAGAUAAAAUAACAUCAUGUUCAGAUUUUAUAUUUUUUCUAAUCAAAUUCCAUAUAUAACAUGUUAAAUUUGAAGUUACGGUAUAGAAGAUAUGAGUAUUUUAAAAAACAUUUAAUAUGUAUUGUGGGUUUAAUGUCAGAAACAUUAGGGGGUUUUCUAUAAAAUAGCAUGACAGACUAAGAAUACCUAUUUCUUUUAUUAGUAGGUAUAGAUAGCAUGUUAUAUAUAGUCAAGGUUUCAAGGGUAUAAAAGUUCUCGCCUAUAAUAUAACAUGAUCCAACGGAGUGAUUUAAAAAAUAUAACUGUAUGUGUCCUGAAAAAAAAACAAUGUUCAGUAUAUAUUUAUGUAACAAUGAGCUAAGAUUUUUAUUUUGCUGAGGGAACAUAAAUGCAUAUAUAGUAUCCCUUCAAAUUUUCUCCCCUAACUUCUUUCUCCACAAUGCACCAACAGGAUAACAAUCCCUCUAGCGGGAUAUACAAGUCAUACUUAAUUAGAUAGACAAAUUCAAUCUUUGGCCAAUAACUAAUCCUUUUUUUAUUGUCAAAUUGAGCAACAAUUAAAUCCCAUAAAUGUUAUCGUUCAAAGAUUGGACGUGGAUGGUCAAAAUACACCAUAAAUAUAUCCUGGUGGAGGGAGUAAUAUUCUUUCGCCAUGCAUGAACUUGCAUCAUCAUAUGUUCCACAUCAUCCAACAUUUUUCUCUUGUGAAUCAAAAAAGAAAUAAAAAAAUUGGAAAUCAAAAAUCAUGAAAUGGAUUUAACUCAGCAUAUAAUACAUACUAAAUUGAGUUGGCUUUAAAUAUCAUUGGUUGUGUUGGGUGCAUAAGCAUUGGGUUCUCAAAGAGAAUUCAGUAAUAUAAAUAAGUUUUAUGGCGUCAAUUUAAUUUUUUUGAUAAUAAUUGUUUUAGGUCAUCAAACAUAACUGAAUAAUCUGAAGAAAGUGUUAUGGAAACCCUUCGAACUAUGUAACUAUUACAUGUGUGUAAUAUGCAAGAAAAAGAUAUAAGCAAACAAUAUAUAUUUUUUGAAUAAUUUGGAAGCAAACAAUAUAUGUAGGAGAUAUAUUGAUAAAUCAAAGCUAGAGUUGCACCAUCUUAAUGUUUGUACAACUGUGCUUCUAAACAACAUUGUAGAAGCAAGUGUUUGCAAGAACCAUACACUAGUAGAAAAAGGGGCAAAUCUGAGACACCUUAGUGCCGGUUCGAUUUUGAGCCGACACUAAUGUGUCCAUUAGUGCCGGUUCGAUUUUGAGCCGACACUAAUGUGUCCAUUAGUGCCGGUUCAAACGGCUAGCCGGCCGCUCUCAUUAGUACCGGUUCAUGGUGAACCUUUAGCACCGGUUCGUGCCACGAACCGGUACUAAAGAGAGUGGUGGCAGGAUGUUGUCAGUCUGGGGCCCGUCCAGCACCUUUAGUACCGGUUCGUGGCACGAACCGGUACUAAAGGUCGACGUACAUAAACCCUUCGUCCACCCGAGCCACUCUGUUCUUCCCCUCACUUCCUCUGUUCUUCCCCUCUCUUCCUCGAGCUCCUCACAAAUUUUGCCCAAAAUUUGUCAAGAUUUGAAGGCCCACAUCCAUUCAAAUGAUCACAAAGGUUAGCAACUUUGUCCUUUCAACUCUCAUUGCUAGAUUAGCUCUUGCAAUGCUUUGUAUAGUGAUUAAUUUGGGAGGAAAUAUAUUUGCUAGUAUUUGAUUUAUAUGCAAUUUCAGGUCAAAAAUAACACUUAGUUUGCAUAUGUAGGUGUGGUUUACUUAGUGCCUUCUAAAUCUCCGUCGUAACCACCGUCGAUCGCCCGCACCAUCCCGUCGCCGGCACCACCUUGUGGUGAGGCUCUUGUUCAUGAAUGUUUUACAUUACCAAAUUGAUGUUUGUGUGAUUUGGAUAUAUAGUUACUCGUAUAAUUGUCUUACCCGUACGUUGUUUGUUAUACAUAGUGCCAUGGUUUUGAUAUCCGUCCCCGUCGGCCCUCGUCCUUGUUAUGAUUCGGAUGUGGUAUAUUCUCUUUUAAAACUAGUUGUUGCAUUUCGUGUUUAUGACAAAUUAUGCCCAUCAAGUUGACAUAGAUAUUUUUAUCUAGGAGGUAUGUGAACCGGAAAUUCCAACCGACCCUAUUGUCGAGAGGUUAAAUUUAGUUGAAAGAGAAAAUGAGUAUUUGAAAGAAAAAUUGAAAAGAAUUGAGGGGGAGAAGAUGGAAUUGGAGUUGCAUGUUGCCGAUGUCGUCGAUGAUCACAAGAUCAAGAUGGAGAAAAUGAGGUUAAAGAUUAGAAAGAUUAGAAAAUAUGCCAUUGAUAGUGUGGCUUGGUAUCAUUAUGUUGUUGGAUCAAUUGUUGCCUUAGUUGCGGUCUUGAUCGCAUUUGUUGUUGCAUUUAAAUUCUUUAGCUAGAGAGUUAUUUGUAUGUUGCAUUUAAUUAAGUGUUGUAUAUGAACUUUAUGUAUGAACUUUAUGUAUGAACUUGUAUUAAUUUGGUUUAUUCGGUGUUAUGUAUAAUGAAGAUAUGAGCCGACAAUGGAUAUAUGAUGACCGAUGCUCUCCCGGGUUCAUUAAUGGCGUGCAUAAUUUUCUGCUUGCCGCUGAGGCAAACAAGCGGGCGGAUGGUUUUAUGCCUUGUCCAUGUGCUGGCUGUAAGAAUUGUCACAAUUACUCUACGUCAAGAACCAUUCACGUCCACCUAUUUGAGUCCGGUUUCAUGCCCCACUAUAAUGUUUGGACCAAGCACGGAGAAAGAGGGGUUAUGAUGGAAGACAAUGAAAGAAGACGACGACAUCUAUCCUGGCCAUGGGUUCCCUGAAUACGAUGAUACAACAAUGGAGGAAGAAGCUGAGCCGGCAAUGCGGGAACAAGCUGAAGAAGAGGCAUCAGAUGAGCCCGCUGAUGAUCUAGUGAAAGGAUCAAUAUGGUUGACUAGAGGGGGUGAAUAGGCAACUAACAAUUUUUAAGCUUUUCUUUAACAAUUUAAACCUUGCGACAAAAUAGGUUGUCUAGAUAUGCAACUACGUGCACAACCUAUAUGAUGCAAUGACAACUAGCACACAAGCAAGCAAUAGAUACAACACAAGUAAGCUUGCAAAAGUAAAGGCAUGAAAUAACCAAGAGUGGAGCCGGUGAAGACGAGGAUGUGUUACCGAAGUUCCUUCCUUUUAAGGGAAGUACGUCUCCGUUAGAGCGGUGUGGAGGCACAAUGCUCCCCAAGAAGCCACUAGGGCCACCGUAAUCUCCUCACGCCCUCACACAAUGCGAGAUGCCGUGAUUCCACUAUUGGUGCCCUUGAAGGUGGCGACCGAACCUUUACAAACAAGGAUGGGGCAAUCUCCACAACACUUGGAGGCUCCCAACAACACCAUGAAGCUUCACCACAAUGGAGUAUGGCUUCGAGGUGACCUCAACCGUCUAGGGUGCUCAAACGCCCAAGAGUAACAAGAUCCGCUAGGGAUUAGUGGGGGGAUCAAAAAUCUCUUGGUGGAAGUGUAGAUCGGGCCCUUGUCACCCAAUCCCGAGCAAAUCAACAAGUUUGAUUGGCUAGGGAGAGAAAUCGGGCCAAAAUGGAGCUUGGAGCAAUAAUGGAGCUUGGAGGUGGAAGAGGUGGUCAACUAGAGGUAGGAGACGCCCCUUUUAUAGUUAUGGAAAAGAUCCAACCGUUAUCCACAUGUUUAGCCUGCGAAAUGCGGUACUACCGCUCCAGGGGCACGGUACUACCGCAAGGCCAUGCGGUACUACCGUGGAGGACCACGGUACUUCCGCGGCAGCAGCAGAGGCCGGGACUUGCCUGACUGGGUGCAGUACUACCGCUUGCGCGGUACUACCGCUCCCCCUUGCGGUACUACCGCAAGGCAGGAAAGUCAAUGCCUACAAAGAGCGCGGAUGAAAUAAAUUAUAUCCAUGCCUACUUCCGCUGAAAACGAAACAGUGCAAAAAUCCGACGCGGUACUACCACGCAUGAGGCGCGGUACUACCGUGGAGGCGCGGAUGUAAAAAAUUACAUCCGCUCCUACUACCGUGACGCAGCGGUACUAGGUAUAAGGGCCACGGUAUUACGACUCCGGGGGAGCGGUACUACCGUGGCCUCCCACGAUACUACCGCGCAGGAUGUGCGGUACUAUCGUGGGGGCGCGGAUGUAAAAAAUUACAUCUGCCCCUACUACCGUACCGGAGCGGCACUAGGCCUGGGAGCCACGGUACUAAGGCUCUAGAGGAGCGGUACUACCGUGACCCCUAGCGGUACUACCGCAGGUGCUUGCGGUAGUACCGCUCCAUAGAGCAGUACUACCGCAAGUACAACAGUAGCCGUCAGAUGAAGCACAACUAGGAUAACAGAGAGAUGCUCCAAAGUGCAAGGGAAAGGAAGGACAUGUGUACGUGUUGAUUCCACCCGAACCUUUCUGACACGAACCCCCUCUUAAUAGUACAGCUCUCCUACGACUCAAAUCCACCAAAGAGAAACGUAGAACAACGCCGUCUUCAACAGUCUUCGAGGGGCACCGAAUCGUCUCGUGCCUAGAGAUGAAGCGUCUAAGAAACUAAAGGCACACGAUUAGUCCGCAAAAGCAUUGUCAUCAAUCACCAAAACACUUAAGGGAUAAAUAUGCUCUUACAAUCUCCCCCUUUUUGGUGGAUUGAUGACAAUACGGGAUUUGCACAUAGAUGAGAUAAUAUAGGGCACAGGAAAACCCCUCCUCUCUAGAAUAUAGACGGGCUCCCCCUAGAUGUGUGCAAUCUAGAUAGAUGCUUUGGACUGCAUCGCACACAACCUAGGAUCAACACUCCCCCUAUAUUAUAGAGACAAAGGCAUGAUAACUAACAUCUAAGCAGAGCAUAUCACAAAGGUAGCACAAUAUAUCACAAGCUUGCUAAGAUAGAUAGAGUGCAUAUGUCUUACACCAUAUGAAGUAAAGCAACCCAAAGCAACUGAAACGAGGUUCAAAGAGAAAGCAGCAAACACGAACGAUGACACAAGACGUGCAAAUCCCUACACUCUCUCCCCCUUUGGCAUCGAGACGCCAAAAAGGCAGAGAGGACACCUACACACACGGGGUGGCUCAAGCAGGGAACUCAUCCCAACCCUCUCCGUCGGACUCCUCGGCAGCAGGGAUGGUCGCCUCGACGUCCUCCUCAGAAUUAGUCCACCUAUAGCCUUGCUUCUCCAUCCACUCGGCCUCUGGAGUGAUGCGAUCCUCAGAACCGCCAGACACAUCCUCACCAUAGAGCUGCAAGAUCUUCUUGUCCCGGCGAUGACUCUCCUUGGAUGCCAUGUGAGUUCUGUACUGGCCCUUGGCUUGCAUGCAGAAAAGAGUCUUCAUCUUGUCCUUCAGCUUCUUGGCCCACGAGGGCAUAGAGGAACUAUGGGAAGUCCUGGCAGCACGGUCCUUAGCAACAUCCUCUACGCCAACAUCCUCCUCAUCAACAGCAGCCCUAGCAGCAGACGCCUCAGCGCGAGUAGUAGUGUUAGCCCAGUUGGACUUGACACAGAGACAGAUGGGAUCAUGGCGAAUCCAGUCUGGCUCAAGGAACUCCUCACCAGGGAACAUCUUCUCCCAAGUCUUCGAUAUCAGCAGAAAAAGAUAAGGACCAUAGAUAGGCACUUUGCGGUUGAACACCGCAAACCGAAGCUCACACCACAUGAUGUGUGAGACAUCAAGUGGCUGAGUCUGAGACAACCGAGCCUUGUCCUUGUCACCAAUGCGAGGGAACAAGGAGUUGCGAAAGAUGCGAUACAUGAUAUCCAGAAAAGAGUUGAGCACAAACCCCGUCUUGCCAUUGGCAAGUGCCUUCUCAACAUAGUAUGGUUGAAGCUUGUCCUUGUUAGCAGACUCAGGAUUAGCAUGGGGGCGAACACCCACGGGAGUGUUGAGCCCGUCAUCAGGAACGUGGAGCAGGUCCAUGAACUCCUUCCAAGUAGCAGUCAUCAUACGGCCAUUGGUCAUCCAGGUCAUCCUCCGCUCCUCAUCAUGGUGAAAGUAUACUGAGGCAAAGAACUGACAGAUGAGCUCAAGGUCAUAGUCAAGGUGAAAAGAGAUCACAUGCUCAAUACCAAACUGCUCCACCAGGUCCAGAGCUUCUCCAAAGUACGCACGAUACUGGUCCUUCCUCAUGUGAUGCAUUUCUAUCCAUUUGACAUCCACAUAGGUAUUAUGCUUAUUCUUGAUGACAUCCAGAUAAAUGAGAGUCUGUUGCUUGUUCCAAAACAGCUCACAACCUUUGACAGUAGCACGAGGGUUCACAUACGGGUUGAGCUUCCUGAGACGGACAAACUCAGAUUGGGGUAUCUCGUCCAUGCCCUUAGCGGGUUCCUUGUGCUUGCUAGCUGAUGACUUGACAUGGCGCUUGGGAGCAGAGGAGCCCUCUGGUGCUUCACCUGGAUUGCGUAGACGCUUGGAGCCCGUGUCACGACUAGGGUUGGAACGGCGAGAGCCACCACCUGAGACACACACGCAAAACACGCACGAAAUGCAAAAAGGAUCAAUGCAAAGACCACGGUAAAGCACAAGAAACACAUAGAAAGUAUACAUGAAAGUUGCCAUGAGAUAGAUGUGAGCCACGGUAGUACUGCCUGAGCCUGCGGUACUAAAAUUUUAGUACCGCUCCAGGGUGCGGUAGUACCAUGCGAGGCACGGUAGUACCAUGGUUGGAGCGGUAGUAAAGUUUUAGUGCUGCAGUGAGUGCGGUAGUACCGCGCCAGAGGGCGGUAGUACCAAACAAGCGGUAGUACCGCGCCAGAUGGGCGGUAGUACCGCACCGCGUCAGAUCCAAGCGAUGGUUUGAAUCUGAAAAGAACCGCGAAACCCCGGUAGUGCUACGGUGAUCAAGUCUAGCACAGUACAAAGUACAAGUAUAAUUCCUACGCAAUACUAUGCUCCUUCAUCCUACUCUUGCAAAGAUUAAGCCUAAGAAUCUCAAGAACACACAAGUCUCCCCCAAAACCUAGAGACAACAAACACAACAAAAACGAGAAGGAGUUGGGGAAAGACCUUGGUCCAUAGCAAGAGCACGUGGUGGGGAGCGAUCCCACCGGUCGGAAUCACGGGAGGGCAGCCGGAGGCGGAGAUCCGAUGACGGAUGCCGGCUCCGUUCUUGAGCGAGGGAGAGAGAGAGACAAGAUGGGGAACGGGCGAAUGGGUAUGGGGGAGUUAGAACUCCCCCUGGCCGUCCUUAUCCCCACUCGUCCGAGCCGUCACGGUAGUACCGCAUAUCAUUGCGGUAGUACCACUUGGGCGGAAGUACUGCACCGAAGCGGUAGUACCGCUCUCCCAGGUGGCAGUAAAAAAUUACUGCCGUAUGGGGGCGGUAGUACCGUGCUCCCCUCAUGCGGUAGUACCGUAGUAGGCUGCGGUAGUACCGUGAGCUCAAGAAAAAGCUGGUUUCGACACACGAAAAGAGGUCUUUGCAAAGAAACUUCUAGCACAAAAAGACACCACAAGAACAUGAACAACCCAAAGGCAGAAAGACAACAAGAAGCAACCGCGCAACCCAACCUCUCAAAAGGAGAGGGGGUGCCGGAGCCACCUAUGUUUGAGUUAGUUGGUAUGGCACCGCGAAGAAUUAUCCUUGGGCCCAUGACCAAAACUCAUCUUUGAAGCACAAGUACCAUAAAAAAUGGCUAAUGUGAAAGAGUUGAUCGAUUUAUGCAUAAUGGGGGGAGGGAGAGUUCAUUGACAGAACAACACUCCCCCUAUGUCCAUGCCUACAUCUAAACUAGACAACAAGUUGAGUGUGGUGGGGGUGCAAGGGUUCAAGUCACGUUGCUCGAAUCAAUGAUAUUUAGCUCAUGCCUUAACUCGCGAAAUCUUGCUUCAUCCAAGGGCUUCGUGAAAAUAUCUGCAAGGUUAUCAUGAGUGUUGACAUACUUGAGCUCGAUCUCCCCUCGCCUAAUGUGAUCCCGGAUGAAGUGAUACCGAAUCUCAAUAUGCUUCGUCUUGAAGUGUUUCACCGGGUUGAGAGAAAUCUUGAUGGCACUUUCAUUAUCACACCAAAGAGGCACUUUGUCACAAAUGACACCGUACUCCUUUAAAGUUUGCCUCAUCCAUAAGAGUUGUGCACAACAACUACCGGCCGCCACAUAUUCCGCUUCGGUGGACGAGAGAGACACACAACUUUGCUUCUUGGAAGACCAACUUACCAAAGAGCAACCAAGAAAUUGGCACCCUCCGAAAGUGGACUUCCUAUCCACCUUAUCUCCCGCCCAAUCAGAAUCUGUGAAUCCUUCAAGCUUGAAGUUAGCUCCUCUUGGGUACCAUAGGCCAAAGUUUGGGGUAUGAGCCAAAUAUCGAAAGAUUCGCUUGACCGCCACAAAGUGGCUUUCCUUUGGUGCGGCUUGGAACCAUGCACACAUUCCCACACUCAACAUGAUAUCCGGUCUAGAUGCACAAAGGUAAAGCAAGGAACCAAUCAUAGAGUGAUAUACCUUUUGAUCCACCGCUUUACCAUUGGGAUCAAUGUCAAGUUGGCACUUGGUGGGCAUCGGAGUAGAGGCCGGCUUGACAUCACUUAGCUUGAAUCUCUUAAGCAUGUCUUGAGUGUAUUUGGCUUGGUUGAUGAAGGUACCUUCUCUUCUUUGUUUGAUAUCAAAACCAAGGAAGAACUUCAACUCUCCCAUCGAAGACAUCUUGAACUUAGAGGUCAUGAGAGUGGCAAAUUCUUCAUUGAAAGCAUUGUUAGGGGAACCAAAGAUAAUGUCAUCAACAUAUAGUUGGCACACAAACAACUCCCCUUUGACCUUCUUAGUAAAAAGAGUGGGAUCAAUUUGCCCUACUUCAAAUCCACGAUCUUGUAACAACUCGGUAAGGUGGUCAUACCACGCAUGUGGGGCUUGUUUAAGGCCAUAGAGUGCCUUAUCAAGUUGAUACACAUGAUCCGGGAAGUAAUGAUCCUCGAACCCGGGGGGUUGCUUGACAUAAACCAACUCAUUAAUAGGACCAUUAAGAAAAGCACUUUUCACAUCCAUUUGUUGUAGCUUAAAGUUGUGAUGGGAAGCAUAAGCAAUCAACAAACGAAUGGAUUCAAGGCGAGCAACGGGAGCAAAGGUUUCACCAUAGUCGAUACCCUCAACUUGGGAGUAGCCUUGUGCUACCAAUCUUGCCUUGUUGCGAAUGAUGUUCCCAUGAGCAUCUUGCUUGUUCUUGAAGAUCCACUUGGUUCCAAUGACGUUAUGGUUCCCCGAAGGCCUUGGCACCAACCUCCACGCCUUGGUGUACUUGAAGUUGUUGAGUUCUUCAUGCAUGGCAUUGAGCCAAUCCGAGUCUUCGAGCGCCUCAUAGACCUUUUGGGGUUCAACACAAGAGACAAACGCGUGAUGCUCACAAUAGUUUGCUAAUUUUCUACGAGUGCUUACCCCCUUUCUUAGGCUUCCAACCACAUUCUCCAUGAGAUGGCCUUUGGUGGUGAGUUUGGAAGCAAUCUUCGCGGCACGACGCUCUAAUUCCUCCUCGGAUGUGGAAGGAGGAGGGUUAACUUGAUCAUCUUGAGCGCCGUCUUGAGCUUGUUCUUGAUCUUGAGCUUGCUCAUGAUCUUGAACUUGCUCGAGGGGGAGAACUUGACCUUGGGCAUCAUUUGGAGGUUCACCAUCAUCUUGAGAUUGAUCUUGCCCUUGGUCUUGUUCCCGAGGUUGAGGGCCUACACUUUGUUCUUCGAAGCGUGUGGGUCUUGAGUAGGUGAAGGCUCCACUUGAGUGGAGCAUUUCCCUUCUCCUUCGGCCACAAGGGGUUCCUCAAUGGGUAGAAUAUGACCAAUACCCAUUCUUCUUAUGGCUUGGGGAGGAAUUUCAUCACCUACAUCACAAGUACCACUUUGCUCCACUUGGGAGCCGUUAUUUUCGUCAAACUCCACGUUACACGUCUCCUCAAUGAGUCUGGUGGACUUGUUGAGAACACGGUAAGCAUGAGAGUUUGUAGCAUAACCAACAAAUAUGCCCUCAUAAGCUCUAGCCUCAAAUUUAGACAAACGAACACCUUUCUUGAGAAUGAAACACUUACACCCGAACGCUCGGAAGUACUUGAGAUUGGGCUUGUUUCCGGUGAGUAUCUCAUAAGGAGUCUUGUUCAAGCCUUUGCGGAGAUAGAGCCGAUUGGAUGCAUGACAUGCGGUGUUGAUGGCUUCGGCCCAAAAGUUGUAUGGAGACUUGAACUCCGCCAUCAUGGUCCUUGUCGCAUUCGUCAACGUUCGGUUUUUCCUCUCCGCAACACCAUUUUGUUGAGGGGUAUAUGGUGCAGAAUAUUGAUGCUUGAUCCCCUCAUCACUAAGAAACUCAUCCAAGGUGUAGUUCUUGAACUCGGUGCCGUUGUCACUUCUUAUUGUCAAGAUCUUUGCAUUAUGUUGACGUUGAGCUUCAUUUAAAAAGUCGAUGACGGUUUGUUGAGUCUCACUCUUCCUCUUGAAGAAGUAUACCCAAGUGUAUCUUGAAUAAUCAUCCACAAUCACCAAGCAAUACUUUCUACCCCCAAGACUAUCAAAGGAUGGAGGACCAAAGAGGUCCAUGUGCAGGAGCUCCAAGGGUCUCUUCGAGUAGAUGAUAGUCGUGGGAGGGUGAGCCGUCUCAUGAAGCUUUCCUUCGAUACAAGCACUGCAAGCACGAUCUUUGGCAAAACUAACAUUUGUUAGUCCACGGACAUGUUCCCCCUUGAGAAGACUUUGCAAAGAUCUCAUAUUGACAUGGGCUAAACGGCGAUGCCAAAGCCAUCCCACAUCAACUUUAGCCAUUAGGCAUGUCGCGGUCUUAGUGGGUUGCUCCUAAAAGUUAAUCACAUAGAGACUGUUCUCGACAUGCCCAACAAAGGCUACUUUAAGAGUCUUGCUCCACAAGAGGGCCACGGUAUCAAUAUCAAAGAAGGUGGCAAAGCCCAUGAGUGCGAGUUGACGAACGGAAAGUAAAUUGAACGCAAGGGACUCAACAAGCAUGACUUUCUCGAUUGUUAGAUCAUGAGAAAUGACAACCUUGCCAAGACCCAAUACCUUAGAAUGCGAGGCAUCACCCCACUCGACAUUGGUGGGCAUAGAUGGGAUCUUUUGGACGUCCACCACCAAGUCCUUGCUCCCGGUCAUAUGAUUUGUUGCUCCACUAUCAAGCAACCAUGAUCCCCCACCGGAAGCAAACACAUACAAGAGAUCAAUGCUUGGUUUUAGGUACCCAUUUAGUAAUGGGUCCUUUGAUGUUAGUAACAUGGGUCUUAGGAACCCAAAUAGACCAUUCAAUGUACUCAUAAGAAGAACCAACAAAUUUAGCAUAAACAUGCCCAUCACUAGCACGGCACAACACAUAAGAGGGGUUAAAGUCGCCGGCUUUGUUGGGAGAGAUGGCUUUGCGCUCUUUGGCAUCACCACUCUUCGCAUUCUUCUUCUUCUCCUUAGGAGCACCCUCUCCCUCCUUCACAAAAGUUUGCUUGAGCGGGGGAGGUCAUUUGGUCUUGUUAUUCUUCUCCUUGUUCUUCUUCUUGUUCUUGGACUUGGGUGAAAACCCAACUCCCUCCUUGCCCACAACUUCCUUUUGAUUGCUCAAAAGGUCAUUUAGGUUCUUCUCACCUUGUAUGCAUGACACAAGUCCUUUCUCGAGUUGUUCCUUCAACUUGACAUUCUUCUCCACAAGAUGCACAUGCUCACAACACGGGUUAGUAGCAUUUGCAUUAUCAAUUAAGACCAUGUGAGGAAAUGUGGCCUUUUCCUUGGUUAGCUUAACUUGGAGUUGAGCAUGAGACUCCUUGAGGUUUGCAUGAGCACUUUUCAAGACCUUAUGGGCCUUGUCAAGUACAUCAAACUCCUCCUUGAGUCUAGCAUGAUCAACCCCAAGCUUAGCCUUCUCGGAAGUUAGAACACGAGACACAACAAGAGCAUGAUCAAGAUCUUUCUUUAAUUUGGCAUGGUCAUCAUUGUGUGACUCCUCAAGAGCCAAACGAUGCCCACGCUCUUCCUCAAGAGCAUUAGAGAGAUCCGAUAUCUCAUCGGCAUAGUCAUGACUAUGACCUUCCAUCUUAGAGAUGGUUUCUUCGUGAGCCUCAAUCAUGUCAUUGGCUUCACCAAGUUGUUCCAAGAGAGCAACGAAGUGCUUCUUGGAUUUGCCAUUGAGCUUACUCAUGAAGGACUCAAAUUCAUUUACCUCCUCAUUAUACCCCUUACCAUCAUCAAAGCCAACCGUUGAAGAAGGAUUAGGAAUAAUGGUGGUUUUGAUGUUGGGGGUUACCUUGUUGGUGGACUUAGCCAUGAGGCACUUGGCGGUGAUGUUCUCGUUGGGUGAAUCGAAAAGAGACACCCGGGGAGUUGUGGCAAUGGCAACGGAUGCCAUGGCCAUUGCUUCACUAUCUUCAUGAUCAUCAUCAUCCUCACGGUAUUCUUCUUGAACCACCAACCCGCGAGUAGGAGUCUUCUUGGUGAAGUUGUUCUUGUUGGGGAAGGACUUGGCCUUGUCUUUUCGGAUGAACUUGCCACGAUUGUCUUCCCACUUCUCGUAAGGACAAUCCGCAACGAAAUGGCUCACAUUGCCACAGUUGAAACAAGUUCUAACUCGUUGCUUUCCAUUGAUGCCACUUGAGUUGUUCUUGUUGAAGUUGGGUCUUGUAUUCUUCUUGCUCCAGAAUUGUCUUAAGGCAAGAGCCAUGUGCUCAUGAUAAUCAUAUUUUGUGUCUUCGGGGUUGCUCUCCUCAUCUUAUUCUUCUUCCUCUUCUUCCACAUUGACCUUGGCCUUCAAGGCAAGGUUGGGCUUCUUUGCCCUUUGAUAACGGAGCACCGCAUUAUCAGCGGUCUUGUCCAAGAUGCUCAUUGCAACGAACUCAUCCAACACUUCACUUGAGGUCAUGGAGUGGAAGUCCGGUCUUUGAUGAAUGACGGAGGACAUGGCCUUUUUGUAGGGCAUCAUGGCCUUGAGGAACUUGCGCUUGAUCCAAUUGUCAUCCGUGUCCUUGCUCCCAUGAUCUCGGAGUGCGACCACGAGUUUGGUCACUCUUCGAAAGAGCUCACGAGGUUCUUCAUCUUCUUUCAUUGCAAACUCAUCAGCUUCAUCUUGCACCACUUCAUAUUUGGAGCGUUGAAUGCUAGAACUUCCUCGAUAGAGAGACAAAACACAUUUCCAUGCGUCUUUAGCCAUGGCAUGAGGUCGAAGAUGAGGGAGAUCUUCGGGAAGGAUUGCAUCUUGGAUGAUGAAGAGAUCACUCUCAUUGAAUUGAUUAUCCACGGCUUCUCGAGGGGUGAAGUUGCUUGGGUCAUGUGGAUAGAAACAUUCUUCUAUAAUUCUCCAAAGAUUAGUGUUUUAAAUGACGCUUGAAACGAUACACCCAAGCAUCAAAAUCCUCAUUUUUCACAAUCUUAGGAGGAGGACCGGCAUGAUUUAAAUGAGUAGUGGGAAUCGGUCCACCAUAAGUAGGAGGUUCCACAUGGGCAAAGAUGUCGGAGCCAUUUCUACCACUAGUAGAAGGACCUUUUUCACUAUUAGCUUCCCCCUUGUCAGAGGUGGCAUCCGUCACCUUGUUAGUGGGAUCACCCACUUUCAUCGGCGAGGUGGAUAGUUUAAGUCCUUCUAGGAAUUCAGAAAACAUGCUUUUAACCUCGGCCGUCAUGGAGGUUUUCAAUGUGUCUAAAGCCACAUUGAAUUCCUCACGUGAGACCGAGGUUCCCCCAUCGGCCGUAGACGAGAUAGGAUUCACAUCGGAGUGCUCCUCCACACCGUCGUUGGUGUCAACCAUACUCUUCGGACGGCAAAGUCCUUAAUAAAGAGACGAGGUUCUGAUACCAAUUCAAAGGAUCGAUAUGGUUGACUAGAGCGGGGGUGAAUAGGCAACUAACAAUUUUUAAGCUUUUCUUUAACAAUUUAAACCUUGCGAAAAAAUAGGUUGUCUAGAUAUGCAACUACAUGGACAACCUAUAUGAUGCAAUGACAACUAGCACACAAGCAAGCAAUAUAUACAACACAAGUAAGCUUGCAAAAGUAAAGGCACGAAAUAACCAAGAGUGGAGCCGGUGAAGACGAGGAUGUGUUACCGAAGUUCCUUCCUUUUAAGGGGAAGUACGUCUCUGUUAGAGCGGUGUGGAGGCACAAUGCUCCCCAAGAAGCCACUAGGGCCACCGUAAUCUCCUCACGCCCUCACACAAUGCGAGAUGCCGUGAUUCCACUAUUGGUGCCCUUGAAGGCGGCGACCGAACCUUUACAAAGGAGGAUGGGGCAAUCUCCACAACACUUGGAGGCUCCCAACAACACCACGAAGCUUCACCACAAUGGAGUAUGGCUUCGAGGUGACCUCAACCGUCUAGGGUGCUCAAACACUCAAGAGUAACAAGAUCCGCUAGGGAUUAGUGGGGGAGUCGAAAAUCUCUUGGUGGAAGUGUAGAUCGGGCCCUUGUUACCCAAUCCCGAGCAAAUCAACAAGUUUGAUUGGCUAGGGAGAGAGAUCGGGCCAAAAUGGAGCUUGGAGCAACAAUGGAGCUUGGAGGUGGAAGAGGUGGUCAGCUAGAGGUAGGAGACGCCCGUUUUAUAGUUAUGGAAAAGAUCCAACCGUUAUCCACAUGUUCAGCCUGCGAAAUGCGGUACUACCGCUCCAGGGGCGCGGUACUACUGCAAGGCCAUGCGGUACUACCGUGGAGGACCACGGUACUUCCGCGACAGCAGCAGAGGCCGGGACUUGCCUGACUGGGUGCAGUACUACCGCUUGCGCGGUACUAUCACUCCCCCUUGCGGUACUAUCGCAAGGCAGGAAAGUCAGUGCCUAUGAAGAGGGCGGAUGAAAUAAAUUACAUCCGUGCCUACUUCCGCUGAAAAUGAAACAGUGCAAAAAAUCCAACGCGGUACUACCGCGCACGAGGCGCGGUACUACCGUGGAGGCGCGGAUGUAAAAAAAUUACAUCCGCUCCUACUACCGUGACGCAGCGGUACUAGGUAUGAGGGCCACGGUACUACGACUCCGGGGGAGCGGUACUACCAUGGCCUCCCGCGGUACUACCGUGGGGGCGCGAAUGUAAAAAAUUACAUCUGCCCCUACUACCGUAGUGGAGCGGCACUAGGCCUGGGAGCGACGGUACUAAGGCUCCAAAGGAGCGGUACUACCGUGACCCCCAGCGGUACUACCGCAGGUGCUUGCGGUACUACCGCUCCAUAGAGCAGUACUACCGCAAGUACAGCAGUAGCCGUCAGAUGAAGCACAACUAGGAUAACGGAGAGAUGCUCCAAAGUGCAAGGGAAAGGAAGGACAUGUGUACGUGUUGAUUCCACACGAACCUUUCCGACGCGGACCCCCUCUUAAUAGUACGGCUCUCCUACGACUCAAAUCCAUCAAAGAGAAACAUAGAACAACGCCGUCUUCAAUAGUCUUCGAGGGGCACCGAAUCGUCUCGUGCCUAGAGAUGAAGCGUCUAAGAAACUAAAGGCACACGAUUAGUCCGCAAAAGCACUGUCAUCAAUCACCAAAACACUUAAGGGAUAAAUAUGCUCUUACAUCUAGGUCGGGCCAUUGCCGAUGCAAAGAGAAACCGCGCAAGUGAUUUGGAGAGGAAGAAGUUGCAGCGCAUGUUAGAGGAUCACAAGAAAUUGUUGUACCCAAAUUGCGAAGCUGACAAAAAAAGUUUGUUACCACACUGGAAUUGCUGCAAUGGAAGGCAGAGAAUGGUGUAUCUGACAAGGGAUUUGGAAAGUUGCUGGUAAUGAUAAAGAAUAUGCUUCCAAUGGACAACGAAUUGCCUGAGAGUACGUAUGAAGAAAAGAAGGUUGUCUGCCCUCUAGGGUUAGAGGUGCAGAAGAUACAUGCAUGCCCUAAUGACUGCAUCCUCUACCGCGGUGCGUACGAGGAUUUGAACACUUGCCCGGUAUGUGGUGCAUUGCGUUAUAAGAUCAGUCACGAUGACCCUGGUGAUGUCGAGGGCGAGCGCCCCAGGAAGAAGAUUCCUGCCAAGGUGAUGUGGUAUGCUCCUAUAAUACCACGGUUAAAACGCUUGUUCCAAAACAAAGAGCAUGCGAAGGCGAUGCGGUGGCACAGAGAAGACCGUAAGAAAGACGAAAAGUUGAGAGUACCCGCUGACGGUUCGCAGUGGAGAAAAAUCGAGAGAAAGUACAGGGAGGAGUUUGCAGGUGACCCAAGGAACGUAUGGUUUGGUCUAAGCGCAGAUGGCAUUAAUCCUUUUGGGGAGCAGAGCAGCAACCAUAGCACGUGGCCUGUGACUAUAUGUUUGUAUAACCUUCCUCCUUGGUUGUGCAUGAAGCGGAAGUUCAUUAUGAUGCCAGUGCUCAUCCAGGGUCCUAAGCAACCCGGCAACGACAUUGAUGUGUACCUAAGGCCAUUAGUUGAAGAACUAUUACAGCUGUGGAAUGGAACAGGUGUACGUGCGUGGGAUGAGCACGGACAGGAAGAAUUUGACCUAAAGGUGUUAUUGUUCGUGACCACCAAUGAUUGGCCUGCUCUCAGUAACCUUUUAGGACAGACAAACAAGGGAUACCGCGGAUGCACGCACUGUUUGGAUGAUACUGACAGUAUAUAUUGGAGUGUUGUAGGAAGAAUGUGUACCUGGGACAUCGUCGAUUUCUUCCGAGCAGGCAUCCCGUAAGAAAGAAAGGCAAGCAUUUCAAAGGUGAGGCGGAUCAUCGGACGAAGCCUCGCCACCGUCCUGGUGCUGAUGUACAUGAUAUGGUCAAGGAUUUGAAGGUAAUCUUUGGAAAGGGUCCUGGCGGACAACCUGUUCCCAAGGACGCUGACGGACGCACGCCCAUGUGGAAGAAGAAAUCUAUAUUUUGGGAUCUGCCCUAUUGGAAAGACCUAGAGGUCCGCUCCGCAAUCGAUGUGAUGCACGUGACGAAGAAUCUUUGCGUGACCCUCCUUGGCUUCUUGGGCGUGUAUGGGAAGACAAAAGAUACACCAGAGGCACGUGAGGACCAGCAACGUAUGCACGGAAAAGACGACACACAUUAGGGUCAGGCCAGCUAUGCUCUUACCAAAGAAGAGAAGGAAAGCUUCUUUGAAUGCCUGCUCAGCAUGAAGGUACCGUCUGGCUUCUCGUCGAAUAUAAAGGGAAUAAUAAAUAUGGCAGAGAAAAAGUUCCAGAACCUAAAGUCUCAUGACUGCCACGUGAUUAUGACGCAACUGCUUCCGGUUGCAUUGAGGGGGCUUCUACUGAAAAAUGUUCGAUUAGCCAUUGUAUAGCUAUGUGCAUUCCUCAAUGCCAUCUCUCAGAAGGUAAUCGAUCUAGAAAUCAUACCAAGGUUACAGAAUGAUUUGGUGCAAUGUCUUGUCAGUUUUGAGUUGGUGUUCCCACCAUCCUUGUUCAACAUCAUGACGCACGUCCUAGUUCACCUUUGCAAAGAGAUUAACGUUUUGGGUCCUGUAUUUCUACACAAUAUGUUCCCCUUUGAGAGGUUCAUGGGAGUUUUGAAGAAAUAUGUUCAUAACCGUGCUAGGCCAGAAGGAAGCAUUGCAAAGGGCCAUGAAAAUGAGGAGGUCAUUGAGUUUUGUAUUGACUUUAUUCCUGACCUUAAGCCGAUUGGUGUUCCUGAAUCGCGGCAUAAGGGCGGUGAGGGAGUCCUGGACUAGGGGGUGUCCGGAUAGCUGAACUAUCAUCAUCGGUCGGACUCCAAGACUAUGAAGAUACAAGAUUGAAGACUUUGUCCCGUGUCCGGAUGAGACUUUCCUUGGCGUGGAAGGCAAGCUUGGCGAUACGGAUAUGUAGAUCUCCUACCAUUGUAACCGACUCUGUGUAACCCUAGCCCUCUCCGGUGUCUAUAUAAACCGGAUGGCUUUAGUCCAUAGGACGAACAACAAUCAUACCAUAGGCUAGCUUCUAGGGUUUAGCCUCCUUGAUCUCAUGGUAGAUCUACUCUUGUAAUACCCACAUCAUCAAUAUCAAUCAAGCAGGACGUAGGGUUUUACCUCCAUCAAGAGGGCCCAAACCUGGGUAAAACAUCGUGUCCCUUGUCUCCUGUUACCAUCCGCCUAGACGCAUAGUUCGGGACCCCCUACCCGAGAUCCGCCGGUUUUGACACCGACAUUGGUGCUUUCAUUGAGAGUUCCUCUGUGUCGUCACCGAUAGGCUCGAUGGCUUCUUCGAUCGUCAACAACGACGCAGUCCAGGGUGAGACUUUUCUCCCCGGACAGAUCUUCGUAUUCGGCGGCUUUGCACUGCGGGCCAAUUCGCUUGGCCAUCUGGAGCAGAUCGAAAGCUACGCCCCUGGCCGUCAGGUCAGAUUUGGAAGUUUGAACUUCACGGCUGACAUCCGCGGAGACUUGAUCUUCGAUGGAUUCGAGCCACAGCUGAGCGCGCCGCACUGUCAUGAUGGGCAUGAUUUAGCUCUGCAGCCGGACAGUGCCCUGGAGGCCGCACACGAGCCCGCUGCGACCCUCGAUUCGGAGCCGGCUGCGCAGAUCGAGGACGGGUGGCUAGACACCGCCUCGGGGGCUGCAACCUCUACGGUGAUGGAGCCGAAUACUGGCAUUGUCCCUUGUGAAGCUCAUGACUCCGAGGUGCCGGACUCCUCGCCGGACUCCGAACCUCCCGCGACCCCUCCAAUCGAAUCCGAUUGGGCGCCGAUCAUGGAGUUCACCGCUGCGGACAUCUUUCAACACACACCUUUCGGCGACAUCUUGAGUUCGCUAAAGUAUCUCUUGUUAUCAGGAGAGCCCUGGCCGAACUGCGGUCAGGACGGUUGGGAUGCGGACGGCGAAGAAAUUCAAAGCCCACCCACCACCCACUUAGUAGCCACUGUCGACGAUCUAACGGACAUGCUAGACUUCGACUCCGAAGACAUCGACGGUAUGGACGACGAUGCCGGAGAUGACCAAGAACCAGCGCCUACUGGGCACUGGAAAGCCACCUCAUCAUAUGACAUAUACAUGGUAGAUAUCCCAAAGGAUGGGAAUGGCGAAGGAACAGCGGAGGAUGACCCCUCCAAGAAACAGCCCAAGCGCCGGCGUCAGCGGCGCCGCUCUAAAUCCCGCCACAGCAAGAAUGGAGAUUUCGGCACCGGAGAUAAUAAUACCCCAGACAGUGCCGAAGACAACCCCCUCCAGCAAGAUUCAGCACAGGAGGACGAAGAAGCCAGCCCUCAUGAGAGGACGGCAGACGAAGAGGUAGAGGAUGAUAAUUACAUGCCUCCCUCCGGAGACGAGGCAAGCCUCGACGACGACGAAUUUGUCGUGCCUGAGGAUCCCGUCGAACAAGAGCGUUUUAAACGCAUGCUUAUGGCCACGACAAAUAGCCUGAAGAAAAAGUAGCAACAGCUUAGUGCUGAUCAAGAUCUGCUAGCCGACAGAUGGACUGAAGUCCUUGCGGACGAAGAGCAUGAGCUCGAACGCCCCUCCAAAAGCUACCCCAAACGCAAGCUGCUCCCCCGAUUAGAGGAGGAGGCAUAUAAACCUGCAUCACCAGCACACAAUACGGCUGACCGACCACCCCGUGGCCGCGACAGAGAGGCCUCUAGGCCCUCCACUAGAACCGUACCCCGGCAUCGCUCGAAAAGCACAAGACCGCAGGGGAACGCUCUGGACUUGCGAGAUAUAUUGGAGGAUAAGGCAAGACAAUAAAGAUCGAUCUACGGAUCGCGUAGGCGCCCCAUGAUACGUGACGACAACCGUCGCGCUGAACGCAGCAAGUCCGGUCGGGCCGAACACAGUAGACAAAGCUCUUUUGAGCUUCGUCGUGAUAUAGCCCAAUACAGAGGCGUCGCACACCCACUACGCUUCACAAAUGAAGUAAUGGAUCAUCAAAUCCCCGAAGGGUUUAAACCCGUGAAUAUUGAAUCUUAUGAUGACACAACAGACCCCGCGGUUUGGAUUAAAGACUAUCUACUUCAUAUCAACAUGGCCCGCGGUGAUGAUCUUCACGCCAUAAAAUACCUCCCACUCAAGCUUAAAGGACCAGCUCGGCAUUGGCUUAACAGCUUGCCAGCAGAACCAAUUGGGUGUUGGGAGGACCUGGAAGCCGCAUUCCUUGAUAACUUCUAGGGCACGUAUGUGCGACCACCAGACGCUGAUGACCUAAGCCAUAUAAUUCAGCAGCCAGACGAAUCGGCCAGACAAUUCUGGACACGGUUCUUAACCAAGAAAAAUCAAAUCGUCGACUGUCCGGAUGCGGAGGCCCUCGCGGCCUUCAAACAUAACAUCCGCGACGAGUGGCUUACCCGCACCUGGGACAGGAAAAGCCGAAAUCAAUGGCAGCCCUCACAUCACUCCUGACCCACUUCUGCGCGGGAGAGGACAGCUGGCUAGCCCGCAGCAACAACCUCAGCAAAAAUUCUGGCAGUCCGGAUAUCAAGGACCGCAAUGGCAGGUCGCGUCGCAACAAGAACAAACGCCGCAUUAACGGCGACAAUAAUGAGGAUAUGACAGUCAAUGCCGGAUUCAAAGGCUCUAAACCCGGUCAGCGGAAAAAGCCAUUCAAAAGAACUACUCCGGGUCCGUCCAAUUUGGACCGAAUACUCGGGCGCUCGUGCCAGAUACACGGCACCCCCGAAAGGCCAGCUAACCACACCAACAGGGACUGUUGGGUAUUCAAGCAGGCAGGCAAGCUAAUUGCCGAAAACAACGACAAAGGGCUGCAUAGCGAUGACGAGGAAGAGACCCGACCACCGAACAAUAGAGGACAGAAGGGUUUCCCCCCACAAGUGUGGACGGUGAACAUGAUAUACACAACCCACAUACCCAAAAGGGAGCGGAAGCGUGCACUCAGGGAUGUAUACGUGAUGGAGCCAGUCGCCCGAAGUUCAACCCAUGGUCCUCCUGCCCGAUCACUUCUGAUCGAAGGGACCACCCCACCAGCAUCCGCCACGGCGGAUUCGCCGCAUUGGUUUUAGACCCAAUCGUCGAUGGAUUUCACCUCACCAAAGUCCUGAUGGACGGCGGCAGCAGCCUGAACCUGCUUUAUCAGGAUACAGUGCGCAAAAUGGGCAUAGACCCUUCAAGGAUUAAACCCACAAAGACGACCUUUAAAGGCGUCAUACGAGGUGUAGAGGCCAAUUGUACAGGCUUAGUUACACUGGAAGUGGUCUUCGGAUCCCCGGAUAACUUCCGAAGCGAGGAGUUAAUCUUCGACAUAGUUCUGUUCCGCAGCGGCUAUCAUGCUCUGCUCGGACGUACCGCGUUUGCAAAGUUCAACGCGGUGCCGCACUACGCAUACCUCAAGCUCAAGAUGCCAGGCCCUCGAGGAGUCAUCACGGUCAACGGAAACACUGAACGCUCUCUCCAAACGGAGGAACAUACAGCGGCUCUCGCGGCAGAAGUACAGUGCAGCCUCUUAAGGCAAUUCUCGAGUCCGGCCAUUAAGCGACCGGACACGGCUAAACGCGCCCAAAGUAACCUACAACAAGACCACCUGGCACGUUCCGAGAACGCGUAGCAAUGCGGACCCAACCCCAGCCCCUGCAAAAUUGCAAGACUGGUCCUUCGCAUACAUCAUUACGCUCUGGAGAUACCAUGGGCAUAGGGGGAGGGGCACGACCACGAUAGGCCCAGAAUGCGGCUUAACCACACCAGGGGCUCUCAAGUGUGUCGUUCUUUUUUUUCUUUUUCUCUUUUUUCUUUUUUUACCCACAGGACUCCGUUCAUCAGAGGCCCUGUCCGGCAGUAGACCUGCCGAACUCACGAUGCAACAGCCAGGGAAGGAGAAAGGCUACGACGAAUAUCCAGGUGGUAUCCAUUACGAGCAUUAAAUCUGUUUUAUACACCAUUCCGCGGCCUACCCCUGGAGGGGGACAUGUUUAAUAGUCCCAUCCCUUGCUUACCGCACUAUUUGUAUCGCUCUGCAUUCACGGCAGUAUUUCUUGAAUAAACAAUGCAGCACCUUUUUGCUUAUAAUUGCAUUUCUUUCUUAUACAUAUGUUCAUUUAUGACAUGUUGCAUCCGUACACUUUGGUACGGCUAAAUACACCAGGGGCUUAUGUUUCCCGCAUCAUGGUGUGAUAAGUCCGAACACUUUCACAAGUGCGGCACCCCGAACUUAUAGCAUUAUAUGCAUCGGCUCCGAAUCAUGUCUUGGGUCAAUAGUUGGGUUUGCCCGGCUCCCAUGUUUUGGUACCUUACGUUCCGUUUUAUCGGCUAAGGUAGCACUGGGAGAACCACUGCGAUUGCACCCCAGUUGAGCUGGGCGAGCGCCUCAAUGGAGAAAGCUAAAACUGACCGUCAUGAUGAGGCGAGAGCCGGUCGCUGUUCGAGAGGUUUUUCUCGAGUCCCUAAAGACUUAUGCCGCUUAGAGCGAGGAACCGGCUUUGUCCGGCCCAGGCGUGGAUAGCGCCCCAAAUUCGGCCUUCUGAACACUAGGAGCUUCGCUGAAAUUUAAAAUUAUAGAAUUCUAUGGCUAGGUGAGAGUGUUCAAGCAUUAUAAGUCCGGUUGCCUCGUUCAUUGUGUUGAGCGUCUCCCUAGAUGGACCCAAAAAUGGGAACAAGAAUGCUCAAAUUUAUCCCGAACACCCCAGCACUCAUGGCAUGGGGGCUGAAGCCGAUGACUUGCCAUCUCUCAGAUUUGAUAAACGGCCGCACAUAAGGUAAUAUUUUAAAUUAACAAGCAUUGCUUAGCGCAUAUGAACAAAGUUUUCAGCGCACAGGAUAAAAAAAUGCGAGUCUACUCAAAUAUUACAUCUUUGGAGCACUCACCCGCAAUAAUGCGGGCACCCUUCAGGACACUCUUAUAAUACAUCUCGGGCGUGCGAUACUCCUUGCCCGGUGGCGGCACGUCCGUCACAAGCUUCUCAGCAUCCAUCUUGCCCCAUUGCACCUUUGCGCGGGCAAGAGCCCGACGGGCACCUUCAAUACAGGCGGAGUGCUUGAUGACUUCAACCCAUGGACACGCAUCCACCAGCCGCCGCACCAGGCCGAAGUAGCUCCCAGGCAUGGCCUCCCUGGGCCACAGCCGAACUAUGAGGCCCUUCAUGGCCUGUUCGGUCACCUUGUGGAGCUCGACCAGCUGCUUCAGCUGGUCGCUAAGGGGCACCGGAUCUCCGGUCUCAGCAUACUGAGACCAGAAGACCUUCUCCGUCGAGCUCCCCUCCUCGGCCCUAUAGAAAGCGGCAGCAUCGUCACGCUGCAGGGCAGAUCUGCGAAUGCUCCUGGAGAGCUCCGAAUUCGGGUAAGUGAUAGGUAAUUCACACUCACAUGCUUGCUUUGCAUGAAAAAUGCCUUACCCGCCGCUAUUUUCUUCAACGCCUCGAUUUCCUAGAGGGCCUUGUAGGCUUCGGCCUUAGCGGCUUUGGCACUCUCAAGAGCCGAUGCAAGCUCGGACUUUCGAGUCUUCGAGUUGCGCUCCAAACUCUCAUGUUUUUCCACGAGAGCCUGGAGCUCUUGCUGUACCUCCGCCACCCGCGCCUCCUGCUUCUCUCGCUCGGUGCGCUCCGCGGCCGCAUUACGUUCGGCUGCGGACACCGCCUCCUUCAGGGUCGCCACCUCGUUCGUGGCCCCUGCAAUACCCACGUUAUCCUUGUCAUUCUUCUUGCAACCAAAUCCUUUUCUGUAAGGUACAAUUUUAAUAAGGUGUUACUCACCUUCCUUGUCCUCGAGCUACUUCUUGGCACGGCCGAGCUCGUUCUCAGACCGCUCGAGGUUUUCCUUCAAAGUAUUGACCUCCACAGUCAGUGCGGCAGAGGUCAGCAGCACAGCCUGCAAUCCCAUAUUGACAUAUUUUUUAUGACUCCUGUGUAUAUCUUUUUAGAUCCUCAGUCCGGCUUUUCUUUCCGAACACCGAACUGAGCAUCAGGGGCUACUGUCUAUGCGGUACUAUUUUACAUAUAUCAAAAUUCUUACCUUAAAGCCUGUUAGAAGGCUGCUGCAGGCUUCGGUCAGCCCGCUCUUGGCGAGCUGAACCUUCUGAAUCACCGCACUCAUGACGGUGCAGUGUUCCUCUUCGAUGGAAGCGCCGUUGAGCGCCUCCAGCAAGCUAUCCGGCGCCUCCGGUUGGACGGAGGCCGCCGGCGUCACGGUCUUGCCCUUCUUACGAAGGGGCCGCCCGCCGGACUCCGGAGCCACUACAGGUUCCGGUGCGGAGUCCGGUGCAAAGUCCGGGAGGUUGUCUUGCGGCACCUCCGGGGCCUCCUCCUCCUGGCGGGUCCCUUCCCAGGAUCCCACCUCAGCAUCGUCCGCAUCACGGGGGGUGGAGGCGGUCGGAAGGGAAUCCAUAUCCGACGCACCCAAGGACCCGCUCGACGAAGCGGGAAGAUCAUCCUUGGGCGGAUUGCAGGGUUGUAUGUCGCAUUAGAAAGACACCAUGUGGCGAAAAGAAAAAUCAUGAAGUUAUUCGGGAGUCCGGAUACUUACGAUCUCGCCAGGGGCUUGGCCCUUGAAGGCCAAUCCUCGUCGUCGUCGCCGGCGUUGGCAGAGCAGUCCGGGGGAAGAGUCCUUCCCUUCUUGGACCCUCCGGCCUCCCUCGUUGGGGAGGCCCUCCUUUUCUUCCCUCCUCCCGCUGGGGGAGAGGCCUCUUUCUUCUCCUCCCCGCCUUCAUGGGAGGAGUCCGCAUUGGAGUCAUCGGGCGAUGAGUCCGAUGACACCUAAAAACGGGAACUCUUUCGAGUACCCGUGGCCUUCUUCUUGGCCUUCUUCUCCCGCACCACAUGGGGUGCUGGAACCAACAGCCCCGUUAAGCGGGCGUCCGCUGGGUCUUCUGGCAAAGGGGCCGGGCAAUUAGUCCGCUCGGCCUUCUUCAACCAGUCCUGUCAAAGGAGAGGGAGUUUAGAUCCCGCAUAGAGUCAAACUAUGGAAAACAAGUGCCCCGUAAAGGGUAAAAUCGCUUACCUCGCUAGCCGGACGCUGCGAGCUAAAUCCGCGAUCUUCGGUAGCGGAUGCGGGAGCCUCGGCGCCCUUAAACAGCACCCUCCAGGCCUCUUCGUACGUAGUGUCGAAGAGCCUACUCAAAGUCUGGUGCUGCGCCGAAUCGAACUCGCACAUAUUGAAGUCCCGUUGUUGGCACGGGAGAAUCCGGCGGAUGAGCAUGACCUGGACUACGUUGACAAGCUUGAGCUUCUUGUUCACUAGCUUUUGGACACAGGCUUGGAGUCCGGUCAGCUCCUCUGAAUCACCCCAUGUCAGGCCACUCUCUUUCCAGGAGGUGAGCCGUAUGGGGAUGCCAGAUCUGAAUUCGGGGGCCGCUGCCCAUUUAGGGUCAUGCGGCUCGGUGAUGUAGAACCACCCCGAUUGCCACCCUUAAUGGUUUCCACGAAGGUGCCCUCCAGCCAAGUAACGUUGGGCAUCUUGCCCACCAUGGCGCCUCCGCACUCCGCUUGUUUGCCCUUCACAACCUUCGACUUGACACUUAAGGUCUUGAGCCACAAGCUGAAGUGGGGCUGGAUGCAGAGGAAGGCCUCACACACGAUGAUAAACGCCGAGAUGUUGAGUAUGAAAUUCAGGGCCAGAUCAUGGAAAUCCAGGCCGUAGUAGAACAUGAGCCCCCGCACAAAGGGAUGGAGUGGGAAGCCUAGUCCGCGGAGGAAAUGGGAAAGAAAUACUACCCUCUCAUGGGGCCCGGGGGUGGGGAUGAGCUGCCCCUCGUCGGGGAGCCAGUGCACGAUGUCGCUGGACAGAUAUCCGGCGCUGCGCAGCUUCUUGAUGUGCUCCUCCGUAACGGAGGAGGCCAUCCACUUGCCUCUCGCUCCGGACAUAGUUGGAGAAGGUUGAGGUGAGAUGUGCGGACUUAGGCGCUGGAGCUCGAGUUCGCGGAGAUGGAUAAGCUACAGAGGAAGAAGGCGUAGGUAAAAGGGUGGAUCUUUAUCCCCUUAUAUGGGCGGACGAAACCAUGCGUCCCCACCGGCCUGAUAAAACUCGCUUAUCUCCCAAGCGUCGUAAUCAAUGGCGUGGUUGGGUUACCCACGUCCGUAUUGAUGAGAAUCCCGGAAUAAGGGGAACACGAUCUCUGCUUCGACAAGACGUGCCAAGGAAACUGCUUCGCUAAACGCGCGGAGGUGGUAUAAUAAAAACGAUUCGAGUAAAGGCUUGGUUGUGGUGUGAUGUCACGCCACAAAAUACGUCAACAGAUUGAACUUGUGUAAAUAUUAUUCUCUCUACGGUGGUAUGUGGAAUUUGUUUUGCAGAGCCGGACACUAUCCUGGUGUUCACGAUCUUCUAUGAAUUAUUCGGAGAGGAACCCACCUUGCAAUGCCGAAGACAAUAUGCGCGCCGGACUCGUCUUCAUUGAAGCCUGGUUCAGGUGCUACUGAGGGAGUCCUGGACUAGGGGGUGUCCGGCUAGCCGAACUAUCAUCAUCAGCCGGACUCCAAGACUAUGAAGAUACAAGAUUGAAGACUUCGUCCCAUGUCCAGAUGGGACUUUCCUUGGCGUGGAAGGCAAGCUUGGCUAUACGGAUAUGUAGAUCUCCUACCAUUGUAACCGACUCUGUGUAACCCUAGCCCUCUCCGGUGUCUAUAUAAACCGGAUGGCUUUAGUCCAUAGCAUGAACAACAAUCAUACCAUAGGCUAGCUUCUAGGGUUUAGCCUCCUUGAUCUCGUGGUAGAUCUACUCUUGUAAUACCCGCAUCAUCAAUAUCAAUCAAGCAGGACGUAGGGUUUUACCUCCAUCAAGAGGGCCCGAACCUGGGUAAAACAUCGUGUCCCUUGUCUCCUGUUACCAUCCGCCUAGACGCACAGUUCGGGACCCCCUACCCGAGAUCCGCCGGUUUUGACACCGAUAGGCGGACUGGAUGGAAAAGGCACGCUAGGAGGGGAUCAAAUAAUAUGUAUGGACGGGCAUUCUCUCACUGAAGCACACUACACAGUUCUACAGAAUUCCGCCUUGGUGACUCCGUAUAUGGAGGAACACAAGAAUUUUCUACACUCCAAACACCCGGAGAAGUCUGACGACUGGAUUACACGUGAACAAACAAGGACUUUCGCCGGUUGGUUGCAGAAACGUGCCAUGCACGAUGGCGAUAUUGAAGAUGACCUAUACUCGCUGUCCCAGUUACCAUCUCCGAAUAUAAUGACUUUCAAAGGGUACCGAAUAAAUGGGAAUACAUUUUACACGAUCGCCCAAGAUAAGACGAGCACCGGCCAGGUGGCUACGCGGUGGGAAUGCCUAGGUGGGAUAAGUCUGAGCAAGAGAUGGAGGGUGCAGGGGUCACUCCGAUUACUAGGAGCUGGCCCCCCAGGUGCAGAACUUGGUUCUAUGCGCAUGGGGGGGCGUUGGACCCGAAGACAAUCCUGGUUUCGAAGAAGGCAAGUCUAAAAGGAGACGAACAAAAGAUACUUGACGCAAUAGAAGAAGCUCGAGCGGGGGUGUUCACGCCCAACAGAGAUAACGACGAGCUUACGCGCGCCCUGGGAAAUCCUGAACACCCGGGAAGAAUACGAGGCAUGGGCGUUAUUCCCUGGUAUGAGGGCUUUUUGGACUGGAACGAUGACUAUAGGUCCCGUGCAAGAAAGAAGAUGGAGGAGGAGAAGAAGAGGAAGCUGGAGGAAGAGCAGAGGAAGCAGGACGCAGAACGCCUUCAAGGCCUAGAAGCAAGGCACGCGGACUUGGCACUCAAAUUCCAGUAGCAGCAGCAGCAGAUCGACUCGCUUAGCCAGGAAAGGGGGUCUCAGCAGCGGUAGUAGCAAGUGGAUGAUCAUCCAUCAUUGGAUAGCACUGUCCCAUCCAUGCCGAGAAGCAGCAUUGGUUCUGCCCCGGGCGACACACUGCUGGAUACAUACCAUCCUGUGGAUGACAUCAUAGAGAACACUAACUGUGAGCUACACUCCAAAAUGAAGAACAUAUCCAUGAAGGUGGCGGACGGCGUUGAUUUCACAAUUACCCCUGAAGCAACCUUCCAUUGCAUCCCGAUUCCAAAGGGCUAUGCUCGUGUCAUGGUUGAUGAAGUGGUGGAGCCAUAUUCGAUGCUAGCACUUGACAUUGCUAGAGGUGACGGCGAGCGCACACUGGGAGAGGCCGUACAUCGUAUCAUCCUAUGGAGAAAGUAUUGCAUCAUCUUUCCAAGUCCACCGACACCGCGUCGUCUGCCGACUCCUCCUCGAAGUCCGCCACCGAGUCAGCAGACUCCCGCUCCUCCAAGUCCACAAACGCGUGAGCCGACUCCUCCUUGAAGUCCGCCACCACCUCCAAGUCCCCGAACGCUUGAGAAGACUACUCCUUCAUGUCCGGCACAGCGUCAGGCCACUCCUCCUGCUUCAAGUCCGGCACAGCGUCAGCCACGUCAGUCGUCUCUGCCGUCUCAGUAAUCGCAGAAGAGACACGCCGCAGCUAUGGUGCGUAGCGGUACGAGUCGAGGUAGUGCAGGAAGUACAGGCGGAGACAAGCGAUAUAAAUAUGGCCCAAGCAUCGCUCCUCUUCCUGAAAGGCCUUACGACAUGACCGAGGAGCAAAAUGCAGCCAUAGUGCAGGCCCAAGUGGACGCCCAUUUUGGACAGAAACCGGCACCGCCGCCAAAGGAGAAAGUGCCUGAGAAAACGAUUGACCACUUCAUUCAUAUGGCUAGAGCACCAGCUCCCAAGCCCGUUGACUCAGACUAUGAGCGUCAAAUCAGGAAGCUACAUCGAGCACGUCUACAGAAGGAAGCGAGCUCGAGCUCGAGCCAACAAGCAGCUGGCAAAAAAUGCGGGAAAACCGUUCCCCAGCUGGGAGAACAGGCGGCGCAAGCGAUCCCCCCGCUUGUUGUGCCAACAACACAUGAGAGGAGUACGCGCGCCAAAUAUUAUUGUGGGCAAACCGUUAGCGUUUCCCAGCAAGGCGAUGUGGUAAUAACGAAGGAGUAUAUAAUGCAGGCUGAAAUGCUCAAGAUCUUUGUUGGACAACUCCUCAAAAUCGAGCCCAUGUCUCCGCUUAGAGAAUCGGAAAUAAAAUAGAAAUAUGUCCGGGGCCAACCUUUGGUCCAUCUAGACAAGGUCAAGGACCUCCCAACGAGAAUGUAUGAAUUGCAUCAAUGGUACAUGAACAUUACCAAGAUUUCCAAUCGAGAGUCCCUCAUGGUGAAUGUCAAGCAUAAGCAUUAUUACCAUGAGAAAGCUCUGGCCGUUGAGUAUCCAGAACUAUUUCAGUUAUACAAUCAAGACGCACUCGACAAGUCUAUCGGAAGUUGCUAUUGUCUGUAAGUGAUUUCUUUCUGUAAUUUAAGUCUCAAGCUAGUUAUGUAGUGAUAAUUUUGAUCAAUCAUUACAUGUAAUUAUUCUCACUAUAUUCUUUUCUGUGGUAUUAUAUGCAGGAUGAAGAUGUAUGAAAUAAAAAAAUCUAGACGCUAUGGCAUUGGGUUCGUUGACCCAAAUACCAUUAAUAAGGACAUAUGGAAGCUUCCAUUUUAUCAAGCAGGUGUAGAGGAAAGCAUGCUAGAGUUCUUGAAGCGCCUCAAUACCAAUGAAGAUAUACUACUUCCUUACAACUUCCCGUGAGUCAAACUGUCUUGUACUACAAAUUCUGUUUUUGCUUACUAGCUAGCUAGAUGUUAAUAAUUAAGUGUAUACGGUUUACGGUAGUUGAUUGAUUUUAUGCACAUGCCCGCUUAAUUAAGACAAGCAAACGUGUGUGCAUGUAGUUGGCACUGUGUCUUGUUAGACACAAAGUUGAGGAAAGAAGAGUUGAAUUACUGGACUCACUAACUAAAGAAGAUAAAGACUUCACCAUCGUGAAGGGGAUAGUCAACAGGUAAUUUCAAUCAUUAUUAACUAUAUCUCGGCCUAUUAUUAGUUCGUCAUUUCCUGAUAUGAACUAUUUAAUAACCCCUUUAUUAAUUUUCUUUGCCGGCGGGCAGGGCAUGGGCAAAGUUCAUCAAGGUGACUCCAGACAACUGGGCAAAAAAGUUGUUUUGGCAUCGACCAAAAGUAAGUAAUUAAGUAGUACUAGCUAGCCACCAUCUCUUUAAUUCUUGUUUCAAUAUCAUUAAUUAAUUAUCAUGCUUGAUUAAUCAUUAUCUGAUUCAAUUCCAUUCUCGUAAAGGCCCUGAAGCAGGCGUCGGGGAAUAAUCUGUGUGCAUUCUACGUUUGCGAGAACAUUCGCAUGAUGACGUCCGAAAGGAGCAGAUCUGAUAGACAGGACUGGGUACGUUUGUCAGAACACUAUUCACACCAUUAUCGAUAUCUAGUCACACAACUAACACACAUGCAUAUUGAUCUCCUUAACAGUUCAGAGAGGUGCGGGAUAAGCUCCUACCAUCGGACCGCAUACUAGCACUUCAAGAGGAAAUAGCCGGAUUUUUGCUUGACCAUGUCAUAGAUCCCAAAGAAGAAUACUAUUACCCGCUACCGCGCCCAUGAACCACUUGUCAUCGUGCACUGGAGGCACCAAGGCAACAUAUGUAGGAGAAAUUGUAUAUGUAUAUACAUGUGGAUGUGUGAAUAAUUAAUGGUGUUGGUUGUGAGACAUUUGAUGAUAUAUAUGUAUAUAUAUGCGGUUCUACGUACGAGAAAAUCUAUUUAUAUAUAUGCAUAACGUGUACAAUUUGUAGUAUCGUGAAAUACCAGCAAAAAAAAUUUGAAUAAAAAAUAAAGCCAAAACCCCCCAAACAUUUAGUACCGGUUGGUGUUACCAACCGGUACUAAUGUCCUACGCGCACACGGGUCUGGCUCGUGCCACGUGGUGUCACUUUAGCGCCGGUUCGUGACGAACCGGUACUAAAAGGGGAAGGCUUUAGUCCCCACUCUUUAGUGCCUGUUGGCAAACCGGCACUAAAGACCGUUAAGAACCGGCACUAAAGGACGGUUCUGCACUAGUGAUAUCUGAAAAGGCAUAUGUUCAAUAAAAAAAGAAAAAUAAUUGCCGACACCUAGUGCAUAGCAAUGAAUCAAAGCCUAUCUAAUUAAAACGAAAACAUAAUACACGGAACAAGCAUAAAGAACAUGUAGAAGGUACAUUUUUCCAUCAAUAGAGCUUCAGAAUUAACUUCAGUGAAACAUUCAUGUUAUCACAAGAGUGUGAUGUGCAUAUAUAUAUUCAUGAAAAACUGGAAGUUCCGUAGAAAAAUAUACCAUCUUUCAAGAAAAACACUACUUUUGAGAGAUCAUACUGGCAUGCAAAAUUGGUUUUCUUUCAAAUGAUAAUUAGGAAGUUCUAAAACUCCAGGUCAUUCUCCAGCGGCACUACUUUCAGUUUUCCACUCCAAUUGUAUCGGCCACAACAUUGAUCCAGAUUUUGCAGAAACACUUAUAUUGUUGAACUGAACUUGAUCUCAAGUCAAUGUUUAGUUUAUAAAUAAUUUCUAUAAGUGAUAUAUCUUUCAGUGUAGAUACAUUCCUUGAUGGUGUGUAUUUCUCAAGACUACUUAGUGAAAAUAUAGCAGACAUCAAAUGAAAUGUAUAAUUUUGUAAUGGAAAAUCAAAAUGAAUGCCACAGAAAGACCCCAAAACGUCAUAUAAGAUCACCAUUAACCAUCCAAAUCUAAGGUCACUGCAUUCGUUAUGAACAAAUUCUUUGCCGCGAAACUAAACCAAGCCAACACUAAUUAUGUUUCAUUAUAGGAGACGAUAGUUAUUUCUUCAUUUAAAGUGUUGAUAUGGCUCCACCAUGGUAUUAGAUGUUGCCUUUUACUAUACGUUGUGAUAUCAUCUUUUUUUCUAAUCUAGUAAAACAUCUUCAUAUAGGUCUCACAAUACGAAAACCCUCCUCCGCACGCGUGCGUUGGCUGGGUGAUGAAGCGCUCUGCACAAUAAGUGAGGUUCCCACCGCGUGUUUCCAAACUUCCGCAUGUCGCUUAAUUGAGAAUGGUGGCCCCAUAUAGCAUAGCAGCCCACAGCCAUGGAAUCAAAUGUCUUGGGCCCACCCCACCUGUUACGCGCAUUUGUGAAAGGGCUAGUUCUGCUGGCAUCACGGUUUUCACUUUCAGUCAUAUAUCUUUGAAUUUCACCAAAUUCCGGUAGACCACGAAAUAUUUACCUUUCGGUCAAAAUAUUUCAGUCAUUUCGGUUGUACACAUGAAUUCAAAUAUUUUUUUAAACAUUUUCAAAUAUUUUUUUGAAUUUCAAGUGAAUAUUUUGGUCUUUUGGUCAAGAUGCAAACCGAAAUUACUGGAACUUAGUAAUUUUGGUAGGUACUGAAAUAUUUCUGAAACAGAAAUGAAAAAAACAUGGGUGGCAUGGCAUGCAGGCCCACCCCGUGAUCAAUAUAAAAUCUCCACCUAAAUUUCUGGUGGGGUGGGGGCUAGUUUCCCUAGAAUAAUGAAUAAUCAAAGGAAACAAAAAUAUCACUGCAUAGUUUCCUAAUAGGGACGUGGACAGCCAGUCGAAAAUCGANNNNNNNNNNNNNNNNNNNNNNNNNNNNNNNNNNNNNNNNNNNNNNNNNNNNNNNNNNNNNNNNNNNNNNNNNNNNNNNNNNNNNNNNNNNNNNNNNNNNNNNNNNNNNNNNNNNNNNNNNNNNNNNNNNNNNNNNNNNNNNNNNNNNNNNNNNNNNNNNNNNNNNNNNNNNNNNNNNNNNNNNNNNNNNNNNNNNNNNNNNNNNNNNNNNNNNNNNNNNNNNNNNNNNNNNNNNNNNNNNNNNNNNNNNNNNNNNNNNNNNNNNNNNNNNNNNNNNNNNNNNNNNNNNNNNNNNNNNNNNNNNNNNNNNNNNNNNNNNNNNNNNNNNNNNNNNNNNNNNNNNNNNNNNNNNNNNNNNNNNNNNNNNNNNNNNNNNNNNNNNNNNNNNNNNNNNNNNNNNNNNAUUCACCCAAAAAAUAAUUCAAAUAUAAUUUUAGCCUGACCUGCCUGUACCUCCACAAUGUAAUGGGCUACUGUUGUUUGCAAGUAAUUGUUUCCUAAUGUUAUGACUGAAUAUGGAUUGUCUCAUGAGACGUAUAGGGGGUUUUGCCUCCUAGGCAGGUUUUAUGGCAAAAUUGAUAGUUUCGUCAUGGAAGGACCGAUGUUUAUGACACAAGCACAAAACAUCACAGAUAAUUCAUCGUAGAAGGCCAAAAUAUUACUAGUACAAGGUAUCUUGGGGAUCAUCAAUUGGAUAUGUAAUUUGCACAUACUUGUGCCCUCUACACAUUCUUUCGUUUAUUGGAAUUUCUGUAAUACUGCAAAAAAAAAUAGUACCUAAUUGCGGUGUAAAAUGGUUAGAAAAAAUGGCAUGUCUUUGAUGAAUCGAUGCAGGAAUAUGGCUCACAGGACAAGUGCAUUAUAGUAGGUUUGUCCUUGUCUUGUUUUGACACCUUUGUUUGUCCUUUUUUCUUCCUUUCUUUUUUGCUUUUUUUGUUAUUAUCUGUUUCUCGUCAAUUCCCUACUGUUUUGCCACUAGUUUUCAAGGGGGUCUCACCAUCUUUUAUGUGUUUCUCCACUCUAAAGUACUUUGCUAUUCCAUCACAAUUUUAGCAUUAGAAAAUACACAAUAUAUGAUUGAGCAAAAAAUGCAUGAGAAGAAAACAAUGCAAGACAUAGGCAUUUCCAGCUGCAAACAAAGUAACCAUUCCAUCGAUUGAUGGCAAGACACUAAUCCGUUGAUUGCAUAUAAUAUAUAUGUGUAUGUAUAGCCGGUGCUAUAAUUCUCAUAUGCAUCCUCCUCGACCUACGUUGGUAGGCGCUUACAUACAUAUGCUCAUAUAUUCACAUAUGAGUAGAACGAGAAGUAAAACUGAGAAAGCAGAGCUGCCGACAAAUGUGAACUAACAUGACAUGUAUAUCAGUUAUUUCAACUUGCACUUUAGGCCUUGCCAGAUUCCUCGCAACCUGGUGGCCUGAAGGCAAUGAAGCUGACGCAUUGCACUUGGCGCAUGUUGUCGAAGCCGAUGACGCGGACAUAGGCGUCAGGGUACUCCUUCUUAACCUCCUCCACCUCGUUGAGCACCUGUGUGGCGUCGGUGCACCCGAACAUAGGCAGCUUCCACAUUGUCCAGUAUCGACCGUCGUAGUACCCGGGGGAGCUGUUGUGCUCACGGAAGACAAAGCCAACCUUGCUGAACUCGAGGCAGGGUACCCACUUGGAGCGGAUCAAGUAGUCGACCUGCUUUAGGAGGGCCUCCGUAGAGAGGGGUGGCAAGUAAGACAGGGUCUCAAACUUCUUGAUGCCCUCAAUUGGCCACACCUGAAUAGAUGGAAUGAACACAAUUGAUCAACACUUAGUGCUUAAAGAAAGACCUAACAAUAAGGCAAAAAUUACUCCUUAUGGUCUUCCAUACAUUGUGGGGGGUCUCGACAAGCAAGAAAGCUCAAGGACAGCUCUUGCUUAUGGGUAGUGUACGGGCAUUAAAAAUGAUAUUAUCUACUCCCUCCGUUCCAAAUUAGUCGUUGCUGAAAUGGAUGUAUUUAGAACUAAAAUACAUCUAGAUACAUUCAUACGUGCGAUAAGUAAUUCGGAACGGAGGGAGUAGUACACAUUGCAAUAAAAUCGAUUUCCAUUCACCAAGUUUAUGAGUUAAAUAUUCCUACACAUGUGAACCUGCUUACGGACUACAUUGUGAUGCACUAUCUAUGUUUAGUUGGCCUGGUAUGUUGGUUACACGUCCUAAGGAUAGCUUUGCCUUUGUGCAGUGGAAAUACCCAAUAAAUUAAUCAAUUGGGCCGACAAGAAUAUUCAUGGCAGCUUAGUGUCCGUCAUCCUUCGGGAAAAAAAUUGAAAAGAAAGAUAACCUCAGCCUCUGUAUCAAGGAUGCAUACUGUCAAUUUUAUUAUGUUAUUCAAUUGUGUCUAACAAAAAAAUGCAGUUUUAAUUCAAAACCACCUUCCAGACGAACAAAAUUGCUACACCUAUAAGUAUGAUGAUGUGCCUUGACCGCACCAUCCUUCGCCAAAAUAAUAUUUAGCUUUCAUACCUGCAUGCAUCUGAUCCUUCCGCCAUUGCUGACGCUGCUGAGGCCGGCGCUGCCGGAGCGGCGGCUGACUGGGAGGCCGGCGGUCGACUUGAGCCCCUGGAAGGGUGCGACGGUGGUGGCGGACGAAGCCAUCACGGCUGGGGCCAUGGCGGAGUACGUGAAUUGCUAGGUGGGGAGGCGAUAGCUAGCUAGGCCACACUUGACUUGAGGCCUCCUCAUGCCGCUCCAGUAUAUAUCAGCAUAUGCGCAGCGCCGGUCCUUUCAAACGAGAUUUCGAAGGGGUGGUCGUCGUUUGCUUGCUGCAAGGCGCCUUAUCCCUCUAGAUCAGCGGAAGAGGGGUGGAAAAUAAAAAUGAAUGCGACGGAAAGACCCCAAAACGUCAUAUAAGAUCACCAUUGAUCAUCCAAAUCUAAGAGCAUCUCCGGCCGUGCCCCCAAUACGGACCCCUCACGCGAUUUUUUCGCCCCGGCGCCGAAAAAACGGUCCAGUCGUGCCCUCGGGAGCCCGUUUUUCGCCGGCUUGGUCCGAAAUCAGUGCCGGCGGACCCAGGCCGAACCCGGGGCGAGCGGUUUUGGCGCGAAAGAGACGUGGGUCCGUCGAGUCAGCGACGCGCGUGCCUCGUCGUCAUCGGAACGCCUCGGUUUUCCGCGUGGAAUCAAUGGCAAGGCUGACGGGCAGCCUUGCCAUUGAUUCCUCACAGGCGGCACGUCACGGGCGGCGCGGCAACGCCUUCCCUCCCGCCACGCGUAUACACGGCGCGGGCUAUAUAAACCGGUGGCCUCCCUUGCCUCUGGCCACACCAGCCCACAGCCGCGCAUCGACCGCCGCCGAGCUCUCCCUCUCUCUCCAUGUGCAGCCGCUCGCCGACGCUUCUCCCUCCCCCCCCUCUCCCAAGCCCGAUGGCCGCGCGAUUCCCCGGCGACGCGGCGGCAGCAAACGGCUUCGGCCGCCGCUCGCUCCACGAGUGGGAGGCCUGGCUACUCUUUGAGGCGAACAUCCCGGCGCCACUGGACAUGCGCGCCGGGCCGAUGGGGUGGAGGCUCAGCAACGGGGGUGUGCCCAUUCUUCCGUUGCCCGACGUCGAGGCGCGCCCCGCCUUCUUCGCCGCCGAGGUCGACCGUGUGUGAGCCUCCCUGACAAAGGAGCAGCGCGCCCUCCCCCAGUACGCCGCCGACAACCACGCGUCGUGGGCGGCGUACUUCCAGCACCGCCAGGAGCAGAGGCUGGCGUCCACAUACGGGGCGCCGGUGGUGGGUAGCGUCAAGAACAACGAGGGCCGCCGUGUAUGGUGGGGCGCCCCCGGCCGCACGCUCCAGGACGUGUUGAAGCACAUCGAGUGCGGCAACGACCCGCCGCUAGCAUACCCUGCUGCGGUGGCCGCCCCGGUCCACCGCCGGAGCGCCGGGCAAUGGAUGCCCAGGAGGUUCGGCUCCUCCUCAACUUCCUCCUCCCACUCCUCCUCCCGCUCCUCUUCCCAUUCCUCCGGCUCGCCGGCGGUGUUCGUCGUCAAGGCUGAGCCCGUAGCGGAGACGCCGCUCGGCCGGCGCACUCGCAGCGCCGGCAUCGUCAUAAAUGAGGGCGCCCGGCGCGCAUCCUCCUCGUCUCCUCCAUGCUUCGUCAAACCGAAGACAGAGCCGGGGCUCGCGGCCGUGAAAACAGAGCCGGGGCUCCCCUCCGUGAAGACGGAGCACGACACCGGGGAGCUCGAUGACGCGGUGGCCUGAAAUGGGCGCGCGAUGACUGGGUGCACAUGGAGAUGGAGCGCCAGCGCUGCGCCCUAGAGCAGUUGAAACAUCAGCGCUGGGGCCGCGACGAGGGAGGCGUCGUCGUCCUCGACGACAGCGAUGACGACGACGCGCCGCCACCGACACCGGUCUUCGAUGGCGACGCCGGGUAGGGGUCCAGCAGGGGCAACCGCUUCAAGGAGGAGAAGGCCUCCGAUGACGACGGCGAGGAUGGUGGCGACGGUGGCGACUUCGCCGCGCUCAGCGACUUCUUCGGUCCGUAGUUGUAGUUUCGGCUUUUUAAUAAUAAAUUUGCUAUGUAAAAUGUCGAACAUGUCUAAUAUAUGCCAAGUUUGCCGAAUUUUAGCCAAAUUUUAGCUGAACUUUGCCGAAUACUCUUUUCUUUUUAACAUAAACGGCGUCUGGGGCGGCCCUGGGGUCGGCGGCUAGGAACCCACUCGUCCCCAGGCCGAUUUUUUGCGCCGGCUCGCCCCCAGCGGCGAUUUUACGCGCCCCCUGGGGGGCCAACGGCUGGAGAUGCUCUAAGGUCACUGCAUUCGUUAUGAACAAAUUCUUUGGUGCGAAACUAAACCACACCAACACUAAAAUUCAUGAAGGAAAGCCAUCCAUACUCUUAUGUUUCAUUAUACGAGACAGUAAUUAUUUCUUCAUUUAAAUUGUUUAUGUGGCUCCACCAUGGUAUUAGAGGUGGCAUUUUCCUAUACGAUGUGAUAUCAUCAUUUUUUUUCUAAUUUAGUAAAACUUCUUCAUAUAGGUCUCACAAUCUGAAAAUCCUCAUUCGCGUGCAGGCGUUGGGUGGGUGAAGCGCUCCGCACAAUAAUUCAGGUUCCAACCGCACGCUACAUUCCCUUUCAAACUUUCACAUGUCGUUUAAUUGAGAAUGGUGGUCCCAUAGUAUAGCAGUCCCACUGCCAUGGAAUUUAAUGUGUUGGGCCCACCCCACCUGUUACGCGCAUUCGCAGAAGGGCUAGUUGUGUUGGCAUCAUGGUUUUCACUUUUAAUGAUAUAUCUUUGAAUUUCACCAAAUUUCAGUAGACAGCGAAAUAUUUACCUUUCGGCCAAAAUAUAUCAGUCAUUUUAGUUGUACACAUGAUUUCAAAUAUUUUCAUAUAUUUUCUUCAAUUUCGAGUGAAUAUUUUGGUCUUUUGGUCAAAAUGCAAACAGACAUUACUGGAACUUAGUAAUUUUGGUAGGUACUGAAAUGAAAAAACAUGGGUGCCAUGGCAUGCAGGCCCACCACCGUGAUCAAUAUAUAAUCUCCCACUAAAUUUCAGGGAGGGGGGGCUAGUUUCCCUACAAUAAUGAAUAAUCCAGGGGAACGGAAAUAUCACUGCACACUUUCCUAAUAGGGACGUGGACAGCCAGUCGGAAAUCGACCACGCGGACGCGCGUGCGAAUUAGCCUCCCCCCGGCAUGCGUGUACCUCCACAAUGUAAUGGGCUAUUGUUGUUUGCAACUAAUUGUUUCCUAAUGUUAUGACUGAAUAUGGAAAAAAAAUUCAUGAGACAUAUAGGGUUUGUGCCUCUUAGGCAGGUUUUAUGACAAAAUUGAUAGUUUCGUCAUGGAAGGACCGAUCUUUAUGACACCAACACCAAACAUCACAGAUAAUUCAUGGUAGAAGGCCAAAAUAUUACUAGUACAAGGUAUCUUGGGGCUCAUCAAUUGGAUAUGUGAUUUGCACAUAUUUGUGCCCUCUACACGUUCUUUGGUUUAUUGGAAUUUCUGUAAUACUGCAAAAACAAGUAUCUAAUUGUGGUGUCAAAUGGUUAGAAAAACUGACAUGUCUUUGAUGAAUCGAUGCAGGAAUAUGGCUCACAUGACAAGUGCAUUAUGAUAGGUUUGUCCUUGUCUUGUUAUGACACCUUUGUUUGUCCUUUUUUCUAGUUCUUUAAUUUGUUUUUGUUUUUUUGUUAUUAUCUGUUUCUCGUGAAUUCCGUAUUGUUUUGCCAUUAGUUUCCAAUGGGUCUCGCCAUCUUUUAUGUGUUUCUCCACAGUAUUUUUUUAAGUACUUUGGUAUUCCAUAACAAUUUCCAUAUUAGACAAUACACAACAUAUGAUUGAGCAAAAAAUGCAUGAGAAGAAAACAAUGCAAGACAUAGGCAUUUCCGGCUGCAAACAAACCAACCUUUCCAUCGAUUGAUGGCAAGACACUAAUGCGUUGAUUGCAUAUAAUAUAUAUGUAUAUGUAUAGCCGGUGCUAUAAUUCUCAUAUGCAUCCUCCUCGACCUACAUUGGUAGGUGCUUACAUACAUAUGCUCAUAUAUUCACAUAUAUAUGAGUAGAACGAGAAGUAAAACUGAGAAAGCAGAGCCGCCGACAAAUGUGACUAACAUGACAUGUAUAUCGGUUACUUCAACUUGCACUUUAGGCCUUGCCGGAUUCCUCGCAACCUGGUGGCCUGAAGGCAAUGAAGCUGACGCAUUGCACCUGGCGCAUGUUGUCGAAGCCGAUGACGCGGACAUAGGCAUCAGGGUACUCCUUCUUAACCUCCUCGACCUCGUUGAGCACCUGUGUGGCAUCGGUGCAGCCGAACAUAGGCAGCUUCCACAUUGUCCAGUAUCGACCGUCGUAGUACCCGGGGGAGCUGUUGUGCUCACGGAAGACGAAGCCAACCUUGCUGAACUCGAGGCAGGGUACCCACUUGGAGCGGAUCAAGUAGUCGACCUGCUUUAGGAGGGCCUCCGUAGAGAGGGGUGGCAAGUAAGACAGGGUCUCGAACUUCUUGAUGCCCUCAAUUGGCCACACCUGAAUAGAUGGAAUGAACACAAUUGAUCAACACUCAGUGCUUUAAGAAAGACCUAGCCAUAAGGCAAAAAUUACUCCUGAUGGUCUGUCCAUACAUUGUGGGGGUCUCCACAAGCAAGAAGGCUCAAGGGCAGCUCUUGCUUAUGGGUAGUGUACGGGCAUUAAAAAUGAUAUUAUCUAGUACACAUUGCAAUAAAAACGAUUUCCAUUCACAAAGUUUAUGAGUUAAAUAUUCCUACGCAUGUGAACCUGCUUAUGGACUACAUUGGGAGGUUUAGUUUGGCCUGGUACGUGGGUUACACGUCUAAAGGAUAGCUUUGCCUAUAUGCAGUGGAAAUACCUGAUAAAUUAAUUAAGUGUGACGACAAAAACAUUCAUGAGAGCUUAGUGUCCGUAAUCCUUUGCCAAAAAAAAAUCAAAAAGGAGGAUAUCCCAACCUCUGCAUCAAGCGAUGCAAACUGUCAUUUUGAUUAUGUUAUUCAACAUAGUCUAACAAAAUAAAUACGAUUUCAAACCAAAACCAUCUUCCAGUCGGACAAAAUCGCUACACCUACAAAUACGAUGAUGUGCCUUGACCGCACCAUCGUUGGCAAAAAUAAUAUUCAGCUUUCAUACCUGCAUGCAUCUUAUCCUUCCGCCAUUGCUGACGCUGCUGAGGCCGGCGCUGCCGGAGCGGCGGCUGACGGGGAGGCCCGCGGUCGACUUGAGCCCCUGGAAGGGCGCGACGGUGGUGGCGGAGGAAGCCAUCAUGGCGGGAGCCAUGGCGGAGUACGUGAAUUGCUAGGUGGGGAGGCGAUAGCUAGUUAGGCCACACUUGUCUUGAGCCCCCCUCAUGCCGCUCCAGUAUAUAUCACAAUAUGCGCGGCGCCGCUCCUUUCCAACAAGAUUUUGAAGGGGUGGUCGUUGUUUCCCUGUUGCAGAACGCCUUAUCCCGAGGGAUCAGCGGAAGAGGGGUGGCCCUCCGAUGCAUUGCGUCUGGCUGCUGCAUUGGCAAACGAAAUUUAUAUCAGUCCGAUUACUAAGCAUUACAAUAAUUGUGCGAUCGUUAGAUUUGGGCCUGCGCCUUUCUUAGUCUUCAUCUAUGGCUUCCAGUAAUUUUGAUUUAUUUUGUUUCCGGAAAGUUACUGCUCCCAGAAAUUACUCCUCCAAGAUUUGUGUGUAAUUGCACCGGUGGCGCUUGAACUUGCCAUCCAUGUUCACUUUAGCGUCUGAACUUAAAAAAUACGUCCAACUGGUUAUAGUACUUGGCACUCUUGUUCAAAUAUGGUAGAAGAUGCGGGGCGGAGUGACGAAUGAAUGAAGAAGAUGCACCCUAGGCCUGUAUAAGUAGUGCGCCAAGUUAGCCACAUGGAUAUUGCGCACUGUCCGAUGACGUGUAACCAUCCACGUGCCGCCUAGUACAUGGAUAGAUAGGUGGCGAAACACAGACCAACACAUAAUGAUCGCACUUUGAUAGUAUAGGGGAUCGUAGCAGUCCUCAAUCUGAUGAGACCACCUAUUAAGGGGUAGGAUCAUCAACACCCAACAAGCUACAACACAUGGGGAUCCUAAUGCAAGAUGCUCACCUACCAAACAUAGUCGACUUGACAAACCACUUGGAUGAUACCAAGUCACUCGAACGGGUCAAGUACACUAGCUCAUUUGGAUGGAGUUCAUCAAUGUUCGAAUACACCAAACACUUGGAGGCACAAAGUAGAACAUGCAGAGAAGGCACCUGGGGCGUCGUGUAAUUUUAUAGAACUAGCAUUACUAACUUUAUUACAUCAAUUACCUCUUGUAGUGUAUCUAAUAAUUAGACAUCUUUAAACCCUUGUAACGACAAAGGUCAGGGGACGUGGCUCACUGUAUGUAAGCCAUAUCUCCAUAAUAGGGGGUCUGUCAGGGUUACGAUCGUGACAAUGAGUACUGGGGGUGCGAAAAAUGGGCAGAGCCUAGCUACAGCGCAGGUGUAACACUUGGUGUUUAACGAGUUCAGACCCCUCUCAGAGGAGGUAAUAGCACUACGUAUCGUGCCUUGAGCCUUUGUUUUCUUGAGAGGUAUGAUUACUGAGAUUGCUUAGCCCUUGUACACGAGAGGGGGGGGGGACUUAUAUAGAGUGUGUCGUUGCCCCGCCAUUCCCACGUCGCAAGGGUGGAUUUAAUGUCGUAACUACUGCAGUUACAAGUAUAAAUGGCCACAACUGCAGCAGUUACAGGUAACGGUAGCCCUGACUCUACUUUAAGGAUGACUUAGGAUUCCUCGACCAUUACAGAUCCCACGUCAUCCCUUCACCUCUCUUGCCCGAGUGAUGGUGGUCAUGUCGAUUGAAGGGUGGUCAUCCGAGUGUCGUCGAGGUGUCCGAGUGGACCUCUUGAUGUUCACAUAUGAAUGCUUGUGUGGUCCUGAGACCCACCAAUGAUGGUGUGGGGCCCUAGGUGGGCCCUAUAUGACAGGUCCAUGACCCUACUUGUAGUAGGUGACCUCAUCAUUAGACAUAGAAUCAAUUGAGGUUUUGUAUGGCAAACGGACUGAGCUUUCGGUUAGGUCCCAAUGCUUCUGGAGCACUCGGAAUAUGUUUUUCGGAAUCGUGGUCCGCCGCUCCUUAGACGAAAACACAACGGAUUCUGGACCAAAGGGUUUCCCAGAUGACCGGGUGUUGUUUAUCGCUGAGAAAAACCUGGUGGUAUUUAUUUGUCUCUAAGAGGAGAUAGACUUGAGGUCCAAGUGAGGACAUGCCAUUACAAUCCGAGUGGAGACGCCAGCGUGUGGUCUGACUCUCCAGGGAGAUGCCACUCCUUAUCCUAGAGGAACUCUAUGGAAGACCUUGGUUCGUUCAUCUCGUCUUCAAACACCAUGCAGUUCUUGGACAUAAAGGAGGGAAUGAUUCUUGUAGGUAAAGUGUACAAGACUCUGCAGAUUGAAAAUCUAAUCGAUUAGUCGUGUCCCCGGUUACGGACAUCUGAGCCUAUGGAAUUGGAGUUAUUCGGAAUUCUCAACACCAAACAUAAUUAAUUAAUUGAUGGUUUAUUAAUGAUUUCGGGUAUGAGACACUGGUUGGCGGAACCAUCUCAAUAACAACAAAUAUUUUGUAGUAAUUGCAAGCAAGUCCUUUUGUUGUAGGGAAAAAAUUGCUUCUCGCAGAAACUUAAACUUAGGGCCCCACAGCCAAAAUUGCAUAUAGUGAUAGCAUUUAUUUAUUGGUCUCCCUAUAUGACUUGCCGGCAUAUUCAAAAUGCUAACCUACAUGACCACACCAUCUUAUGUUGCAUAGGAUUACUCCGACCAGGACUGAGGAUACGAUCCACAGUCGAUGAUUGCCUUAGGAGUCGGAUGGACUCGCUUAUCGUCCACACUUCCGCAGUAGUUUUCUCAUGAGUUGUCCUUUGGCUGAAUUUAUUCUGAUGUAAUAAAGACUCCAUAUGAGAUUCAUGUAAUAAAUCAAGUGUGACUGAACUUUGAUAUUUUCAUCAAUGUACUGUGUGUGCCAGCAUGAUCUUGGGAUGGUACUGAUACAUAGAGAAUUGGCCGUUUUCGGGUCGGGUUGCUACAGUGACUUGCUAAUAAUACAUAGUGAUGUAUGCGGUCCAGUCAGUGUGAAGUACACAUUGGAUAUCAUUAUUUCCUAACCUUCAUAGAUUAUUUAAGUAGAUAUGGGUAAAUUUACUUAAUGAAACACACCAUUGAAAAAGUUCAAGGAGUUUCAGAGUGAAGUAGAAAAUCAUCCUAAUAAGAAGGUAAAACUUCUAUGAUCUGAUCAUGGAGGUGAAUACCUGAGUUAUGAUUUUGAUAUGCAUUUAAAACAAUGUGGAAUUGUUUCACAACUCACUCUACCUGGAACACCACAUCGUAAUGGUGUUUUCGAAUGUUGUAAUCGUACUCUAUUAGAUAUGGUCGUUCUAUGAUGUCUCUUACCGAUUUGUCACUAUCAUUUUAGGGUUAUGCAUUAGAGAUAGCCGCAUUCACUUUAAACAGGGCACCGUCUAAAUCCUUUCAAAAGACACUCUAUGAAUUAUGGUUUGGCAAGAAACCUAAGCUAUCGUUUCUUAAAGUUUGGGGAUGCGACAAUUAUGUCAAGGGGCUACAACAUGAUAAGCUCAAACCCAAAGCGGAAAAAUGUGUCUUGAUAGGAUACCCUAAAUAGAUAAUUGGGUAUACAUGCAAUCACAGAUCCAAGGGCAAGAUCUUUGUUUCCAAAAAUGUAUCCUUAAUGGAGAAAGAGUUUCUCUCAAAAUAAGUGAGUGGGAGGAAUGUAGAGCUUGAUGAGGUUAUCAAACCUUCUCUCAAAUUAGAGAUUACCAAGUGUGAACUCUGGUGGACUUACCCGAUGACUGAAGGCCAUUGAAAACAAAUGGAUCUUUAAGAAGAAAAUAGACAUUGAUGGUAAUGUCACUACCUAUAAAGCUCGACAUGUCACAAAAGGUUAUCCACAAGUUCAAGGGGUUGACAAUGAUGAGACUUUCUCGACCGUAACGAUGCUAAACUUUUUUAGCAUUAUGUUAGCAAUUGCUGCAUUUUUGGACUAUGAAAUCUGACAGAUGGAUGUCAAAACUAUGUUCCUUAAUGGUCAUGUUAAGCAAGAGUUGUAUAUGAUGCAACAUAAUAAGGUAUGCAAGUUCCAGCGAUCCAUUUAUGGACUGGUGCCAGCAUUCUCGACUUGGAAUCUUCACUUUGAUGAGGUGAUCAAAGCUUUUGGUUUUAUCCAAGCUUAUGGAGAAGCUUAUAUUUACAAGAAAGUGAGUGGAAUCUCUGUAGCAUUUCUAAUACUAUAUGUGGAUGACAUAUUAAGUAUUGGCAAUGAUGUAGAUCUUCUGGAAAGCAUAAAUGGAUAUUUGAACAAGAGUUUUUCAAUGAAAGACCUCGGUGCAACAACUUACAUAUUGGGAAUCAAGAUCUAUAGAGAUAGAUCAAGACGCCUGAAAGGACUUUCACAAAGUACAUACCUUGACAAAGUGGAAGAAGUUCAAAAUGGGCCAGUUCAAAGAAUGGGUUCUUGCCCAUGUUGCAAGGUAUCAAGUUGAGUAAGACUAAAUGCCCAGCUAUGGCAGAAGAAAUAGUAAAGACGAGAGCCGUCCACUAUGCCUCAGCCAUAGGCUCUAUCAUGUAGGUCAUGAUGUGUAGUAGACUUGAUGUGUGCCUUCCCACUAGUAUGAAUGGUAGGUACCAGAGUGAUCCAAGAGUGGAAAACUGGACAACAGUCAAAUAUCAUUAAGUGCCUAAAGAGGACUAAGGAGAUGUUUCUCAUUUAUGCAGGUGAUGCAGAGCUUGUCAUAAAAGUUUAUGUCGAUGCUAGAUUUGACACUGAUCCGAAUGACUCAAAAUGUCAAUUCACAUAUGUAUUUAUUUUGAAUGGUGGGGAAGUCAGCCGGAGUAGCUCCAAGCAAAGCGUUGUAGCAGUAUCAACAUGUGAGGCGGAAUAUAUAGCUGCCUUGAAAGUGGUGCGGGAAGGAGUCUAGAUGAUGGUUUUCAUAUCUAAACUAGGUGUGGUUCCUAGUGCAUCGGAUCCCAUGACUAUCUAUUGUGACAACAUGGGUGCCAUUGUCAUAGCCAAGAAGCCAAGGUUUUACACAAAAACUAAGCAUAUAAAUGCCGCUUCAACUCCAUCCGUGACUAUGUCAAGGAAGGAGACAUAGAGAUUUGCGAAAUUCACACAGAUCUCAAUGUUGAAGAUGAUGACCCACAAGUAUAGGGGAUAAAUCGUAGUCCUUUCAAUAAGUAAGAGUAUCGAACCCAACGAGGAGCAAAAGGAAAUGAGGAGUUGUUUUCAGCCAGGUAAUUUCUGCAAGCACUGAAAUUGUCGGUAACAUGUAGUUUGAUAGUAAGAUAAUUUCUAACGGACAAGUAACGGUACAUAAAGUGAAGUAAGAUAGCCCAAUCCUUUUUGUAGCAAAGGAAAGUACAAAACGAUCUCUUAUAAUAAGCAAAGCAUCCUUGAGGGCACACUGGAAUUUCAUCUAGUCACUUUCAUCAUGUUGGUUUGAUUCGCGUUCGCUACUUUGAUAAUUUGAUAUGUGGGUGGACCGGUGCUUGCGUGAUGUUCUUACUUGAACAAGCCUCCCACUUAUGAUUAACCCUCUCGCAAGCAUCUGCAACUCAGAAAGAAGAAUUAAGAUAACAAUCUAACCAUAGCAUUAAACAUAUGGAUCCAAACCAGCCCCUUACGAAAUAGCGCAUAAACUAGGAUUUAAGCUUCUCUCACUCUAACAACCCAUCAUCUAAUAACUAUUCCACAAUGCAUUCCCUUAGGCCCAAAGAUGGUAAAGUGUCAUGUAACGACGUUCACAUAACACCACUCAAGGAACCAUAACAUACAUAUCAUCAAAAUAUCGAACGAAUACCAAAUUCACAUGAUUACUUGCAACAUGACUUCCCCCGUGGCAUCAAGAACAAGGACAACUACUCACAAAUAAUAUUCAUGCUCAAGAUUCGAGGGGUAUUAAAUAGCAUAAUCGAUCUGAACAUAUAAUCUUCAAAUAAACCAUAUAGCAUCAACUACAAGAUGUAAUCAACACUACUAGUCACCCACAGGUACCAAUCUGAGGUUCUGGUACAAAGAUUGAACACAAGAGAUGAACUAGGGUUCUCAGAUGAGAUGGUUAUGUUGAAGAUGUUGAUAAAGAUUGGCCUCCCAAAGAUAAGAGGAUUGUUGGUGAUGACGAAGGCUUCGAUUUCCCCAUCCGCGAGGGAUGUUCUCCCGGCGAAAUCGCUCCAUCGGAGGGCAAAAGUGCUCCUGCUCAAGUUCCGCCUUGAGACGGUGGCACUCCAUCCCGAAAGUCCUCUCUUUGUUUUUACUAGGUCAAAAGACCUUAUAUACUAGAAGAUGGGCACCGAACGUGGGGCGGGGUGCCCACCACCCACCAGGGCACACCUGGAGGGGGUGGCGUGCCCUGGUGUCUUGUGGCCACCUGGCAGUCCCCUCUGGUAGUUCUUUUCUCCAAUAUUUCUUAUUUAUUCCAAAAUAAUUCUCCGUAAAAUUUCAGCUCAUUUGGAGAUGCGCAGAAUAGGUAUCUCUGACAUAGUUUUUUCAGGUCUAGAAUUACAGCUAUCGGCAUUCUCUCUCUUUGUGUAAACGUUGCAUAUUACGAGAAAAAAUGUAUUAGAAUUACUCCAUAAAGUGUUAUAAAACAUAAAAACACUAUAAAUAUAUGAUUUUGUCAUGAAAAAUCUAAAUGAAUGCCACGGAAAGACCCCAAAAUGUCAUAUAGGAUCACCAUUGAGCAUCAAAAUAUAAGGCCACCUCAUUCGUUAUGAAGAAAUCCUUUGCCAUGAAAGUAAACCACGCUAACACUAAAAUUCAUGAAGUAAAGUCAUCCAUAGUCUUAUGAUUCAUUACAUGAAAUUAAAGAAAGUGAUGGUAUGGCUCUACCGUGUGUUAGAUGUGGCCUUUCCCACGACGAUGUGGUAUCAUCAUUUUUUUCUAAGUUAGUAAAAGGUCUUACAUAUUGGUUUCAGAAUCCAAAAAGACUCCUUCAGCUGCGCGUUGGGACAGGCGAAGCGCUCCGUAGAAGCAGUCAGGUAGUAUAGCAGCCGACUAUGUUCCUUUUCAAACUUUCGCAUGUUGUUUAACUGAAAAUGGUGGCCCCACGUAGUAUAGCAGCCCACCUACUAGACGCAUUCCCUAACCCUUCGUGACAGCCAGUUGGAAGUUGAUCGCGUGGGACAUGUGCGCGUGAAUUAGCCUCCCCUCACAGUCAUCCACCCCCAAAAAUAAUACAAAUUAAUAUAAUUUCAGCCAUGUUAGAGACAUGUGUGUACCUCCACAAUGUAAUUGGCUAUUGUUGUUUACAACUAAUUGUUUCCUAAUUUUAUGACUGGAUAUGGAUUUUGUCAUGAAACAUACAGGGUUUGUGCCUCCUAGGUAGGUUUAUGACAAAAUGAUAGUUUCGUCAUGGUAGGACCGAUGUUUAUGACACAAACACAAAACAUCACAGAUAAUUCAUCGUAUAGAAGGCCAAAAAUUACUAGUGCAAGAUAUCUUAGGACUCGUAAAUUGGAUAUGUAAUUUGCACAUAUUUGUGUCCUCUACACGUUCUAUGGUUUACUGGAAUUUCUGCAAUACUGCAAAAAAGAAGUAUCUAAUUGCGGUGCAAAAUGGUUAGAAAAGGUGACAUGUCUUUGAUGAAUCGAUGUUGGAAUGUGGCUCACAAGACCAGUACACUAUGGUAGGUUUGUCCUUGUCUUGUUUUGACACCUUUUGUUUGUCCUUUUUACUAGUUUUUAAUUUGGAUUUUGGCCUUUUAUCAUCUGGUUCUCGUCAAUUUCCUACUGUUUUGCCACUAGUUUUUUUACGGGGAGUUUUGCCACUAGUUUUCAAGUGGUUCUCGCCAUCUUUUUAUGUGUUUCUCCACAAUAUUUUUUGAUGUACUUUGGUAUUCCAUAACAAUUUUCACACUAGAUAAUACACAACAUAUGAUUGAGCAAAAAAUGCGUGAGAAGAAAACAAUGCAAGACAUAGGCAUCUCGAGCUGCAAACAAAGUAACAUUUCCAUCAACCGAUGGCAAGACAAUAAUCCGCGGAUUGCAUAUAAUAUAUGUGUGUAUGUAUAGCCGGUGCUAUAAUUCUCAUAUGCAUCCUCCUCGACCUACGUUGGUAGGUGCUUACAUACAUAUGCUCAUAUAUUCACAUACGAGUAGUACGAGAAGUAAAACCGAGAAAGCAGAGCUGCCGACAAAUGUGAACUAACAUGGCAUGUAUAUGCGUUACUUCAACUUGCACUUUAGGCCUUGCCAGAUUCCUCGCAGCCUGGUGGCCUGAAGGCAAUGAAGCUGACGCACUGCACCUGGCGCAUGUUGUCGAAGCCGAUGACGCGGACAUAGGCAUCAGGGUACUCCUUCUUGACCUCCUCCACCUCGCUGAGCACCUGCGUUGCGUCGGUGCACCCGAACAUAGGCAGCUUCCACAUUGUCCAGUAUCGACCGUCGUAGUAGCCGGGGGAGCUGUUGUGCUCACGGAAGACGAAGCCAACCUUGCUGAACUCGAGGCAGGGCACCCACUUGGAGCGGAUCAGGUAGUCGACCUGCUUUAGGAGGGCCUCCGUGGAGAGGGGUGGCAAGUAAGACAGGGUCUCGAACUUCUUGAUGCCCUCAAUCGGCCACACCUGAAUAGAUGGAAUGAACACAAUUGAUCAACACUUGGUGCUUAAAGAAAGACCUGGCCAUAAGUCAAAAAUUACUCCUUAUGGUCUGCCCAUACAUUGUGGGGGGUCUCCACAAGCAAGAAGGCUCAAGGGCAGCAGCUCUUGCUUCAGGUUCAGGGUAGUGUACGGGCAUUAAAAAUGAUAUUAUCUAGUACACAUUGCGAUAAAAUCAAUUUCCGUUCACAAAGUUUAUGAGUUAAAUAUUCCUACACAUGUGAACCUGCUUACGGACUACAUACAUUGUGAUGCACCAUCUUAGUUUACUUUGGCCUGGUGUGUGGGUUACACAUCCUAAUUAAGGAUAGCUUUGGCUAUGUACAGUGGAAAUAUCCGAUAAAUUAAUCAACUGUGCCGACAAGAAUAUUCGUGUGAGCUUAGUGUUCGUCCUACCUCGCAAAAAUAAUACUCUGUCCGAUACAAAAUAAGUGUUGCUGUUUUGUAUUAAGAUUACCGAGGAAGUAAUUAGUGUUCAUACCUGC
This 87804-nucleotide long non-coding RNA is filed under the name Triticum aestivum (bread wheat). Its description in RNAcentral is "long non-coding RNA (TAES_LNC021807)". The stretch from base 34391 to 34525 matches the Rfam family "MIR1120/MIR1122 microRNA precursor family". Lineage: Eukaryota; Viridiplantae; Streptophyta; Magnoliopsida; Poales; Poaceae. The record is from RNAcentral.